Molecule: long non-coding RNA, 48202 nt
Filed under: Hordeum vulgare
Lineage: Eukaryota; Viridiplantae; Streptophyta; Magnoliopsida; Poales; Poaceae
Description: long non-coding RNA (HVUL_LNC012421)
Source: RNAcentral
CCUUGAGCUGUGGGAAGCCUGCUGCUACCUCUUCGGGCUUCAGUUCUGGAGCAUACGCCAAACACCGACACAAGGUAGCCAGCGCCCCUUCCGGGCGGCUGAUCGGGUUAGCUCACCUAUCUGAGGCGGAAGGGUGGAUAAGCAUCCAAGCAUCUUUUUGAUUCAUGUGAUUGGUUCCUUGGUGCCCAUCACUGCCUUCAUGAUCAGCAUGCUCCCAGUACACAGCUGCUCAGUCAGUGUGUAAAUCGCCUUUAACUUCAAGAUGCAGUCGUCCUGAAGGUUGGCGGCUCUCGGGCCUGCGUGAGAAAGACAAAUGAUGGUUCGUACUUUGUUUUUUUCACACUAAUUUUUUAUUUUAGAGAUACGAAACCAGGAAUUCCUUCUUACCAAAGAUGGUCCGUGUCAUGCUGGAAAUAUGUUUCUUUAAACCGGCCAGUUCUUGUUGCAUCGCUCCCAAUUUUGUUUCAGUCGUUUCAGCUCGCUUUAGCGUGGUGGCUUGAUCAACUUGAGAUUUCUUGUCGGCGGCUUUCAGCUUUUCCAUAUUAGCUAAGAUUUCCUGUUAUUUUUCUUCUGCUUGAGCCCGCGCGUCUUGCUGGUCGGCUAAACUUUUCUUUAAGUCGCCCAACGUUGACUCGGCUUGGGCUAUAGAUUCCUGUCAACAUAUUUUGGAGGGACAAGUCUCAGAAUUGUUGCAAGCAACAUCCCUGACACUUGGGGGCUAAUGUAUAAUUUAAAAAAAAAACAAAAUUAUACCACAAGCAAGACCCGACUCAUCUUUCAAUAGAUGACCCGACCCUUGGGGGUUACGGGUCAAAGAUUUUUUAUACAUCAAGACCCGGAUCAUCUUUCAAAAGAUAACCCGGCCCUUGGGGGUUACAGGUCGAAGAUUUUUUCUACAUCAAGACCCGGCUCAUCUUUCAAAAUAUGACGGGGGUUAUAGGUCGAAGAUUUUUUCUAAGUCAAGACCUGGCUCAUCUUUCAAAAGAUGACCCGACCCUUAUGGGUUACAGGUCGGAAGAUUUUCUAACGCAAGACCCGGCUCAUCUUUCAAUAAGAUGACCCGGGCCUUGGGGGCUAAUGAGGAGGGUAUGCAUUAAGGCGUACCUCAUGUUUAUUCUUCAUCAUAUGGAGUAGGUUCUUCUCCAUUUCAUAACUUGUUUCUAGGCGACUUGCGAAGCCGGAGCAGAGUUCAUCAAACUCAAGUUUUUCAUAUUGAGGAAGUUUGGCCUUGGAGAUCUCAUGUCUGGUGGAAGGAUGGGACGAUGUUGAUACAUGCUGUGAUAAGAUUGCUGAAGCCGGCUUAGAGAAGACAGUACUAGUAAUGACCACAACAUCAGGAUCUUCAGCCGCCUUCAACGGACUUGGCGGGUUGGUUGUUUCCAUGCCUUCCUUGGGAGAACUUGGAAGGUCAAUUCGGUCAUCAGUAUAUCUUUUGUCGGGUCAACAUGAGCCGGUGCUGGGUCUUCUUUAAGCUGUGGGGCAGAAGGAGUGGAAGUUGGGCCGCCGGUUUUCCUCUUCUUUGCUUGCGCUCUAAGAAAAAUAGGGUCAUGUUUAAAGCAAGCAUCAUUAUCAUCAGGAAAGACAUAAGUAUUAUAAGGACUUACCAUUGUACGCGAAUCAUUGGCGGAAGGGCCGACAUCACUGAGUAGCCCGAUGAAGGGGGGAAAGUCUGCAAAAGUAAUAUCUCAAAAUAUGAGCGAGUUACAAGUGUGAUCCAAUAGAAAACAAAGGUAGAAAUUGAUAGAGGGUACCUCCUUUCGCCGUUUCUUGGUAGGGGUUUUUAUUGGUAACCCGAACAUCAAAUCCACUGAGUGGCUUCGAGUUUUCCGAAAGGAAGUGUGUUGCGACUUCUUCAAGAGGAAAUUAGGGUCUAGACAAGCAUUCGGGUGAGACAUGGGAACUUUCCCACAAACUCGCCUGGCCGACUUAGGCGAAGGAGAAGUUGAGUCGGAAGAAAUGGAAAUUACCUCUACGGCGUCAUCCUGGCUUUCGUUAUCAUCAUUCUAUACAUGGAAAUGCAGAGAUAUAAGCACAAAUUAGAGUAAAAGUGCGUCAAGACAAAAAGGAUAAAAUUUUACCUCUGAAGACGCUUCGCCGACUUGGGAUUCGUCCACAUCAGACGAUUUGGCGACAGCGGCUUGGUUUUUACCCUUGGACUUCUUUUUAGGAGGCGAUUUGGUUUGCUUCAGGGCAAGCUUCUUCGGCCUUCGUGACCAGAAUCGGUCGCCCUUCUGAGGUGGAAUUAUCAUUAUGCAAGUCAGAAUCCGGGUAAGUUGNNNNNNNNNNNNNNNNNNNNNNNNNNNNNNNNNNNAAAGAGUGAACCAAGGGCGGGCCAAAUUAUUUACCUUAGGAGCCGGGUUAAUCUUGCAAAAUGGCCUAAGCCCUAUUUGGCUACAUUUGGCCAAAGGCUCGCCGGUUUGCUUCUUGAUGAUGCUCACAAUGUCUUCCUCUGUGAGUGCUAUGUGGAAGUAGCAUUGAGGAUGGUUCAAAGUACCAGCAAACUUGCACAUCAAGCCGUCUAGGCGACUCAAGGGAAGGAUGUGCCAUUCCACCCAGCAGCGGAUCAGAUCAACUCCAGUAAGACCAAUGUUUGUUAAAGAUCGUAACUCGGAUAGCACUCGAAUGAAAUCUGAUUCAUCUUCUUCGGUGAGCUUGUCAGGAAGUUUGAAGUUUGUGGGCAGACGCUCCUUCCUGUAGCCUAGGAGUUUGUUCUCACCCAGAGGAGAAGUGUCCCGAUAAUAAAACCAAGACUCGGCCCAGCCUUUGGGGUGGCUGGGCAUGGCGAGUGAUGGGAAUGGACUGUCCUUGCGUUGUUGAACAUUAACCCCUCCAAGUUCUAAGCUAGGGCCAUUGGAGAACUCGGUCUGGCGAUUCAGGUGGAAGAAAUACCAAAACAAAGUGACCGACGGUUCCAUUCGUAGGUAAGCUUCACAGAAUACCUGGAAUUAGCACAUGUUGCUGAUCGAGUUGGGGCCCAGGUCUUGUAGGCAGAUGUUCAUAAAAAACAUAGCAUCUCUGAGGAACUUUGACCCUGGCUGCUAAAACCCUCGUUCGAGGUGGUCAGCAUAAACAACUAUUUCCCCUUCGGCCGAGUUGGGAAUUUCGUCGCCUAGUCCAGAUCGUCAUCCAAUGACUUCCUACGGGUCAAGGUUCCAUGUAUUUACGCACUGCUCGAGGAAGGUGUCGUCAAUUUUGGUCGGGAGCCAGUCGGCCUUAAAAACGGUACCCAUAGCUACAGAGGAAAAGGUCAUGGGUAAGUUAACCCGCCAAAACGCUUGUCGAGUGGUUGGGAGAAUCUAUUAACUGGCCAACAAGGGACCAGGUUUGGGCACGAGGGCGAUUUAGGAAUUUCCCAUUACUCACAGGAGGUACCUCAGGGCAUCAAAAACAUGCAGAAAAAUGACGAGGCAUGAAUCUACAAACAGUCUUCUACAUAGCAAGCAAUGCAACGGGGAUGUGCGAGCAAGGUAAAAUAACGGAGAAAACCUGGAUAAAGUGAAACAGAUCACGGUUGAAAGCAACUACGGCAGGGGUGAUUUAACCAAAGCCCUCUUGGUUCUCUAAACCGAAAUUAAAUGGAUUGGAGAUGUGGUCGGUGCUAAUAUGCUAAGCUACCACAUUGGAUCGAUUGGCAAACGCCGAGGAGUUCAAGGAGUUCUAGGGCGCAGCGAAUGGCGAACGUUGAAAGGCUCGGAUCUGUUCGUAAUGGUGGAAGACUAACCUGUUAAACAACGUCCGGAGGCGAUUGUACAGACCCGCGGUGGAGAUGGUGUGCCCGUUUAGCUCGACGAUGCGACGGACGCAGUGGCCGACGGCGGAGACCCUCGGGCGACGAUGGAGCUCGUCGGGCGGCGGCGGAGUUCCUUGUGUGGCUUCGAGGAAGAAGAAGAAACAGAAGAAGAAUGGGCAAAGAUUCCCUCUGCCCCCAUUCUCGAGCCUAUUUAAUAGGUCAGGUGCGGGGAUCAAGGCGCCUCGCGCAGGAACCGAAGGGGGCAAAUUAAAGAUUCGCACUUAUGGCUCCAAUAUUUUCGGGAUAUUUGCGCCGAGAGAUCCGUUGGGGAUUGCGUCAUCAUUUUCUGGAAUUAAAGGGAUAAGGUGACGUCACCGUAAACGGUUCGGCGACUUGGGUAUUUCCAUGGUGGAUGGCGGCUUAAGCGUAUGGUGCACGAGAAAGGUGGAAUGAGUCGUUCCUAAAGUAGGUAAAAGUUUAUUGGCGUGAACAGGUUCAAGUCAAUAUGGGGCCUAAUGNNNNNNNNNNNNNNNNNNNNNNNNNNNNNNNNNNNNNNNNNNNNNNNNNNNNNNNNNNNNNNNNNNNNNNNNNNNNNNNNNNNNNNNNNNNNNNNNNNNNUAAGUCAUCAGGGAGUCUUCGAGUCUUGGAAAGCACGGCGAUUUAGAAACUAAAGGAAUCACGACUUGUGUUAUGGCAAGGACUCUUGUAAACCCUAGGGCCUCGACCUGUAUAUAAAGGCGAGCCCCUGGAGAGGGGAGGUCAGGUUAGAAAUCAUCGAGAGCUAGGUCAGGCGAGUUACGCCCUCCUUGUAAUCGAAACAUCAUCAAUACAACACUAGAAGGACAUAGGCUUUUACCUCACCACGAGGGGCCGAACCUGGGUAAAACCGAGUCCCUCUUCCACUCAAACCCCUUUGAGUCGCCACCAAGGUGCGAUGGCUCCAUCAUUAAGUCCUUUCACUAGGAAAUCUGCCGUGAGAAAACCACGACAAUAACCAUGGAGGCCAUCAUUCCAAUGGAGGGAGUUUGCAUAAUCAUAAUGGCCCCAAGAAUGGGAAUGGGAAUGGAGGAAGCAACGGACAGAACCGUUCCAACCCAGCAACGCCCGCCAAGAAGGAUCUAAGUCACAUUAGUUGUUUUUAGUGCGGGAAUAAUGGACAUUACGCCAUGGAGUGUCCUAAAGCAAAGAAUGGAAAUGGCAAUGGAAGCUCUGGGAAUAAGCCCAACCCUUUCAACAGGGGACAAGUGAACCAUGCUAGCAUGGAGGAGGUUGAAGCGCAACCCGAUUCAGUACUAGGUAAGUUUUUGGUUAGGUCAUUUACUGCAAUCGUUCUUUUCGAUACUGGAUAAGUAUAACCUGCCAACCCAAGCCCUUAGGUCACCCAUGUUAGUAACCUCGCCAGGAGCAGAGUACAUGGCUAGCCUAUGGUGUGAUCUGUUACCAUUAAGGAUUGGUAACUACGUGUUCCCCUCAGACCUAAUAGUAUUGGAGUCACAAGGACUGGAUGUAAUAUUAGGUAUGCAUUGGUUAUUGAAGUAUGGAGGGAACAUUGACUGCGCCAGUAAGUCGAUUUUUCUCACCAGCCCAGAAGGAAGAAGGAUUAAGUAUGUAUCCCGGCAUGUGCCGAAGAGAACUCUAGUAAAUUCCUUAUCAGGAGUUGUACAGGAGGAAGUACUAGUGGUGAAGGAUUUCCCUGAUGUAUUCCCAAAGGAGUUGCCAGGCAUGCCACCAGACAGAGACAUUGAGUUUUUGAUUGAGCUUUUGCCAGGCACAGGGCCAAUAUCUAAGAGACCGUAUCGGAUGCCCGCAAAGGAUUCGGAAACAAUUAAGAAAUAGAUUAAGGAGUUACUGGAUAGAGGCUAUAUUCGCCCAAGUUCGUCACCUUGGGGAUCACAAGUGCUUCUAGUGGAGAACAAGGAUGGAUCGUUGAGAAUGGUAGUGGAUUAUCGAGGAUUGAAUGAAGUGGAAAUGAAGAACAAGUAUCCACUGCAAAUGAUCAAUGAUUUGUUUGACCAAUUGCAAGGAGCUAAAUUAUUCUUCAAGAUCGAUCUGCGAUCACGAUACCACCAGCUAAAGGUUUGAGAGCAGGAUAUACCUAAGACAGCUUUUACCACAAGGUAUGGGCUAUAUGAGUAUACCGUUAUGUCAUUUGGUCUCACUAACGCACCUGCCUAUUUCAUGAACAUGAUGAACAAGGUGUUUAUGGAGUUUUUGGAUAAGUUCGUCGUGGUGUUCAUUGAUGAUAUUCUGGUCUACUCGAAGAAUGAAGAGGAGCAUAAGGAGCAUUUGUGUUUGGUACAUGGGAAACUCCGAGAACAUCAGUUAUAUGCGAAGUUCAGCAAGUGUUAGUUUUGGUUGAAGGAAGUUGGUUUCCUUGGACAUGUUAUAUCCGAAGAAGGAAUAGCAGUAGACCCCACCAAAGUUGUCACAGUGACUAAUUGGGAACCACCCACGUCAGUUGGAGAGAUCUGGAGUUUUCUUGGACUCGCAGGAUACUACCGGAGAUUCAUUGAGAAUUUCUCUAAGAUUGCAAAGCCCAUGACGGAGUUGUUGAAGGACACCAAGUUCAAAUGGACUGAGGAAUGUGAAGCCGGUUUUCGGGAGUUGAAGAAACGCUUGGUUACAGCCCCACUGCUGAUUCUCCCCGAUCAACGCAAGGAUUAUCAAGUGUAUUGCGACGCUUCUCGUCGAGGACUUGGAGCAGUGUUGAUGCAGGAGGGAAGAGUUGUUUCGGAUGCCUCAGGACAGCUUAAACCCCAUGAGUUGAACUAUGCUACCCAUGAUUUGGAGUUAGCAGCCGUAGUGCAUGUGUUGAAAAAGUGGAGACAUUUUCUCACCGGAAACCACUGUGAGGUGUACACAAAUCACAAGAGUUUGAAGUAUACUUUCACACAGAAGGAGUUGAAUCUUAGACCAAGGAGAUGUUUGGAGCUCAUCAAGGAUUUUGAUAUGAGGUUGCACUAUCAUCUCGGAAAGCCUAAUGUAGUAGUCGAUGCGUUGAGUCGCAAAAGUCAUGUCAAUACACUCAUGACCAGAGGAUUACCUGAGGAGUUAGCAGAAGAUCUUCGCGAGCUAUGGUUGGAAAUAGUUUCGAGAGGUUAUGUACUAGCAUUGGAGAUUCAGUCUACCCUGAUGGAUAAGAUUAGAGAAGCCCAGAAGACUGACAAAGAGAUUGCCAAGAUAAAGGAAAGGAUGAGCAAAGGAAAGGCUAAAGGAUUUCGUGAGGAUGAGCACGAUACCUUAUGGUUGAGGAUCGCGUAUAUGUGCCUAAUGACCCCGAGAUCAGGAAGUUGAUUCUGCAGGAGGCCCACGAUUCACCGUAUUCGAUUCACCCAGGAAAUACCAAGAUGUAUCUGAAUUUGAAGGACAGUUUCUGGUGGACCGGAAUGAAGAACGAUAUUGCGGAGUAUGUAGCAGUUUGUGAUGUAUUUCAGAGAGUGAAGGCGGAGCAUCAGAAGCCAGCAGGUUUGCUACAACCAUUGCAGAUACCCGAAUGGAAGUGGGACAACCUAGGAAUGGAUUUUAUAACGGGAUUGCCCAGGACUCGUUCAGGCUAUGACUCGAUUUGGGUUAUAGUCGAUCGUUUGACGAAGGUAGCUCAUUUCAUCCCAGUAAAGACCGCUUACACCAGUGCUAAGUUGGCAAAGAUAUACAUGACCAGGAUCGUAUGUCUGCAUGGAGUUCCGAGGACCAUUAUAUCAGAUAGAGGAACCCAGUUUACCUCAUAGUUCUAGAAUCAGUUGCAUGAAACGUUGGGUACCAGGCUAGAGUUUAGUACAACCUUUCAGCCUAAGACAUAUGGACAGACCGGGAGAGUCAAUCAGAUUUUAGAGGACUUGUUGAGAGCUUGUGCGCUAGAUUAUGGAUCUAGUUGGGACGACAAUUUGCCGUAUGCAGAGGUAUCUUACAAUAAUAGCUAUCAAGCCAGUUUGAAGUUGGCCCCUAUCGAAGCCUUGUACGGAAGGAGGUGCAGGAUACCGUUGUUAUGGGAUGAAGUUGGAGACCAUCAGUUGUUUGGACGGGAUUUGAUUAAGGAGUCUGAAGAGAAGGUUAAGUUUAUUCGCGAUAGACUCAAGGUAGCCUAGUCCAAGCAGAAGAGUUAUGCGAAUUCAAAACGCAACGAGACAAUUCAUGAAGUUGGAGACAAAGUUUAUCUUUGUGUGUCCCCACUUCGAGGUGUUAAGCAUUUUGGAGUUAAGGGAAAGUUAUCACCAUGUUUUGUGGGACCAUAUAUAGUUUUGGAGCGUAUGGGAGAAGUUGUUUAUAGGUUGGAAUUGCGAGAAGGAUUGUCAGGAGUUCCUGAUGUGUUCCAUGUUUCCCAGUUGAAGAAGUGCCACACAGAUAUGGCCAAUAUUCCUGUAAGAGAUACAGUGCCACUGGAAGCGAUUUAGUUGGAUAGCGAUUUAACUUACGAGGAGAAACCAUUGAAGAUUCUCGAGUUUGCCAGCCGAGUCACACGCAUCAAGGUUAUCAAGUUCUGCAAAGUUCAAUGGAGCCACCAUACCGAGGAUGAAGCCACCUGGGAAUGAGAAGAAGACCUACGGUAGGAUCACCCACACCUAUUCUCUAGCCAACCCGAAUCUCAAGGGCGAGAUUCAUCUGAAGGGGGUAGGUUUGUAACAUCCCGAAUUUUCAAUUUGGAAUGUUAUGCAUUAGAUCAUCAUUGCAUAUCAUAUUUUAUUGCAUUCUUGGUUGAUCCUAGAAAUUCUACGCAACUCAAGGACCCACGGAGAGUGUUGGGGAAUUUUCUAUUUUCAUAAUUGAGUUUUCCCAAAUUUUGAAAAGAGGAUCAUUCGGUUUUAAUUAUUUUCUCUUCAAAUAUUUCUAAAUAUAAAAUAAAACAGAGGGGAUAAAAUGACUUCCCCCAAAGAAAGAAAUAUUGGUGGAAAAAUAUUAAAAUCAAAUAGGAAUUUUAUUCAGAGUUUUAUUGCUAUUUUAUUUCAAUUAGAAAAAAUCCGUUUUUCAAAAUUGCAUUAGAGGCCCCAAUAAAUGUUCACCUUGUUCGUCAUAUUUUUAGAGGACGGGGAAAAUUUAUUUCAAGACUUUUGGAGUCUGUUUGAUAUUUCUUUUUAUUUAUCUUCUCCGCAUCGGAAUUAUUUAAAAAAAAGUCAAACCAUUUAAACGGGCCAUGUCCGACCGGGACUCUAUCCCGUCGGCCUUUAUAAGCCCAGCCGAGGCGCCCCGGAAACCCUCGUCGCCGCGCCGCUCAGCCGCGCCGCCGCCGCGCCGCCCAGCCGCCUCGCCGCCGUGCCGCCUCGCCGCCCCAUCGCCGACCCCGCCCUGAGGUAACCGGGUUUUUUAAAUAAAACCCUAGAUUUAUUUUUAGAUCAGUUUUAUUAUUUUAUUUCCGGUUUAUUUAAUUAGCGUACGUUCGUCUGUACGUUCGUUUUAACGAACGAUGUUCAUCCGUUAGCCGCAGACAGCGAACGUUCGUUCGUUAGCCUGUUUGUCAGUUUUUAUUUUUCCAUGGAUUUUCCACGAUUAUUUCUGAUCGCGAUUUCUGGACUGAUUUUCGUUUUAGUUUAUCUUUUCGCUCGUUUAUCGGAAUCAGGUGGUUCAAACGCCCAGAUCUUUUUCUCGAAACCCUCUUUCUGUUUAACCAACUUGAACAAGAUUUUUGUACUGUAAAAGUUGACUCUAGUCCAAAUUAGUAAACAAACUUGUUUCUUUCGCAGUUUGAGUUUCGCUGCUUCAUUUGUUUUGAUUCUUUUUGCAAACCGGAGUUCUUCAGUUGAACUUUCUGGUUAGAUCUCUUAUCUGAGUUUUCCCCGUGCAUCUAGUUUGAGUGCUUAUGUAUGUUAUUGUUUGUUUACGAUAGAGUACCCGGAGUGCGAAGCGUGCUACUAGUCUCUAGGUUUUGUGGAUCAUCAGCAAGGCAACUAACCCUUUGAUCAUACCUCUUUACUACCAAGUUUUAUUGCAUCAGAUCAACCCUCAACAUUGCAUGGUUAGGAUAUGAUUAACAUGUGGGUUUUGGGAAGUAGAUGAUGAGGUAGAACCUAUUGUCCUGUUUAUUAUCAAAUCUUUGGGAGUUACUUCUACGAUUUGCUUAUUGCUAUGCUAUGCUCGUUGACGUGGAUUGGGUGAGUGUAUCCAUGACAGAUGUGAGUAUUGUUAAUUAAUUGUUCACUUAAGGUGGCUACUUGAAUACACAUCUGGGUGGAUUGCUUGAGGCACCUUGGGGUACCCAGUGGUCGUCAGGGCACCUGGAGAAAUCCAGUGUUGUCCUAGGAUAUCACGGAGUAACCGUGUGAUCAUCCUACGGUCCGGCACACAGGCUCAAACGAAUCAUAAGAUUAUUCAUUCUAGAAACUUCCGUGGGCAGCCACAAGCCAUUAUGGGCUCUGGCAUAGUUGAGUAAGUUGCGUGAAGCUCUUGAAGCGGUAGACUAGCAGAUGUAGUGGGUUGUAGGUGGUACGGUCUACCGAGAGUAGAGAGUUAAUGCUUCAGAAAGACUAUGUCUUGAAUCUCUGACCAUGGAUGUAUUCGAGUCUUGUGGGAAAAGUGUGCAAACCUCUGCAGAGUGUAGAAACUAAUCAUCGUUAGCCGUGUCCCCGAUUAUAGACAUCUUGAGUAUCUGGUUCCUGGAUUAUCAUGUUGAUCUCAUCACUCUAAAUAAAUUUGUUGGGUUUAAUGAUGAUGCUUAAUUGGGAUUGAGNNNNNNNNNNNNNNNNNNNNNNNNNNNNNNNNNNNNNNNNNNNNNNNNNNNNNNNNNNNNNNNNNNNNNNNNNNNNNNNNNNNNNNNNNNNNNNNNNNNNGGUUGCCUUCAUUUUAUGGAAAGCAAUGUAUUUGUGAACAAUGAUAUCAAGAUUUUUCAAGGAAUAAUUUGGAUACCUUUCCUAUAUGUCUUUCCACAAAGUAUGAGCACACUCAAAGUUUUGCAACUGAUUAAUCACGUUUCUUGGUAAACCUCUAAUGAUAAGAUUGACGGUGUUGAGGUUGCCAAGCAUGUUAACUUCAUCAUCAUGAGAAGGAUCUAUGGGGUCAAUGGGAGGUGCAUAGGGAUAUUCAAUAUACUUGCGCAAAUGGAACUCAUCGAAUAUGUCAAGCUUUUCGUCUUUCCAUUGUCUAAAGUACUCCCCAUCAAAAAUAGGCACUCUACAACUAAAAAUCUAAGAACUAGUCACAUUCAUCUUCCUCCAAUGGCUGUUAAACCAAGGUUUUGGUGACCUUGCUCUGAUACCACUUGAGGGAUCGAUAUAAGAUGUCUCUGGGGGGGGGGGAAUAUGCUACUUGUCAAGAUAAAAUUUCUAGCCUAGCCAAAUUUCUAGGAGGGCAGAAAUCUAGCAGUUCUAACAAGUCCACAUACCCUACACAAGCAGUUCUAAGAGUCUAGCAGCGGAAAGUAAAACAUGCAAGUGUAAAGUAGAGGAGAAGGGAAGCAAGAUCAAACGCAUGGGGUUGACACGAUAAUUUUUGGCAUGGUUCCGAUAGGUGGCGCUAUCGUACGUCCAUGUUAGUGGAGACUUCAACCCACGGAGGGUAACGGCUGCGAGAGUCCAUGGAGGGCUCCACCCACGGAGGGUCCACAAAAAAACAGCUUUGUCUAUCCCCCCGAGGCUUCCUUCCACGGAGGACUAGUGUUACUCACGGUAGAUAUUCAUGAAGUAGGAGAUAUCCUUGCCCUUACAAACAUCUUUGUUCAACUCCACAACAUGAAGUAGGAGGCUCCCAAGCGAGACCUAACCAAUCUAGGAGGCACCAUGCUCCAAAAGGUAAUAUAUGUGGUAGAUCAAUGAACUCCUUGCUCUUGUGCUUAUAAAGAUAGUCUCCUCAACACAAAUAUCUCUCUCACAGAAUAUGCAUGGGUAGGAGAGGUUGACUUGGUGGAAAGCAGUUUGGGGAGGCUAGAGAUCAAUAUUCAAAUGAUUGGAUUGGAAUAUUUUGGAAUAUUCAAGGUAAUAUGUUGGUGACACCGAAUUUGUGAAUGUGGAACUUUAUAGAGUGGAUAUGUGGGAACAAUGACCGAGUGUUUUGGUGGCUAACUUUGAGCAUUUGAGCAAUCAGUUCAUUUUACUACCUCACCCGCUUUUAAUAGUAUUGGCUUUCCUAUGGACUCCAAAGUGAUUUCUCACAAGUAUGAAAUGAAGAGUCUUCUAGCUUGAAGCUUGAGCCAAUAUUAUUCCUUUCUUGCAUCCAGGGGCAUCUCCACAUAAACCUUAAGCCAUAGCUCUUCAUGGACUAAACCUGAAAUAUCUAGGUAAAAGUAUUAGUCCAAGAGGCAAUGUAUGUUGUCAUGAAUUAUCAAAAUCACCAAGGGAGUAUCUGUGCUUGCAAUGGUGUUGCAAUACGUUCUUGAUUCUCUUAUAGUGGGUGGCUAGAGUGACACAAGAUUACACCCGAGUAAGGGGGUUGUUGCGUAUGGUAGUAAAUGGGAAUUGAUGUUUACUGCUAUUGUUGGGUUUACCUUAAUGAUUUCUUGGAUUUGCGGAUUCUUGCUAGAGGUCCAAUCAUAAGUUCAUAUGAUCCAAGUAUGAAAACUAUGUUAGCUCAUGCCUCUCCGACAUAUAAAAUUGCAAUAAUGAUUACUGAUCUUGUUAUCAAUUACCUUGGAAAAUUCCGCACACCAUACCAUAAUUAUUCCACCCUUGCUUUUUUUAAUAUAAUAUAAUAUAUGCUAAAUUAUUUAGGCAUCAACUAUUUUUCAUAUUUUAGUUCUCCAAUAUCAUGCAAAGCUAUCCUCUUUAUACCUAGAGCACAAUUUUAUUUCUCCUUUCUAGUUAGAAGCAACUAGUGUGUGUACAUGGAGUUGUAUUAGUCGCAUAUAGGACUUGACAGAAUAUUGAUCUUACUUUUAGCUCCUUGUGGGUUUGACACUCCAUACUUACUACUUCCAUAUUUGGAAAGUGCUAUGAUGAUUCCUUGCACUUGGGGAUCAUCAGUCUCUAGUNNNNNNNNNNNNNNNNNNNNNNNNNNNNNNNNNNNNNNNNNNNNNNNNNNNNNNNNNNNNNNNNNNNNNNNNNNNNNNNNNNNNNNNNNNNNNNNNNNNNCUCACUUUGCAAACAAUCUAUAAGGGAUUGACAACCCCUUCAUAGUGUUGGGUGCAAGCUCUUUGUGUUUGUGCAGGUACUUGUGACUUGACUCGAUCCUCCUACUGGAUUGAUACCUUGGUUCUCAAACUGAGGGAUAUACUUACCGCCGCUGUGCUACAUCACCCUUUCCUCUUCAAGGGAACACCAACGCAAGGCUCCAAGGCCGCGGGGCUACAUCACCCUUUCCUCUUCAAGGGAACACCAACGCAGGGCUCCAAGGCCGCGAGGAAAUCCUUUGCAUAUUUGCCAAGGAAGUCCAUAUAGGCGUAGCCCGUAGCAGAAGGAUUCCUGGCGCCGUUGCUAGGGAAGGUCUUUUGUUGCCGUAGCAGUACCCUUGGAUAGCAAGGAUGGACGUCGUUCUUUUAUCGUUUGUCUUCGUACGUAGUCGGACCCUGCUCUUCAUCAUGAUGACUGUAUAUUGUUGUAUUGAUGUGAUCUUGAUGUAUCUUGUGGCAAGUGUAAGCCAACUCCUUAUACUUAUCUUUUCAGUACAUGUACUUGUAACGAUAUCCAUUCUUGCGAAACGGCGAGAUGUGUUUCAAUUCCUGUCGAGGCCCUCGCGCCAAAAUAAGGAUAGGACCGCAUCUUGGGUUUUACAAUGUGGCACUAAGAUAUAUUGUGAUGUGCUGACAAUUUGGUUAGUGGAACUAAUGCCAGUUUGUAGAGUUUACCUCGGGAUAUUGGUUUCACGGAGAUCCCAUUGGAGUUGUGUGACCACCCAUAAUAGGGGAUUUGUGGUGCGAGAGUUGCAACCUGAAAAGUGCAUGUGGCACUAAGAUAUAUAGUGAUGUGAUGACAAUCUGGUUAGUGGAACUAAUAUCAGUUUGUAGAGUUUAUCUUAGGAUAUUGGUUUCACAGAGAUUCCAUUGGACUUGUGUGACCCCCCACCAUUCAAAAAGGUCAAGUCGUAUUUACCGAUGACUCAAAGGUUUUUGUUGGUUUGAUUUGAGUCGUAUGAAAAUCGCACUAUCAAGAGGGGUCAUCAUGGAUGUGUCAUGUGUGAAUGCCUCCAAACUUAUACACCAGCCAUCCUACACCUACGACCAAGAAUCCACUUAUAAUGUGCUUUUUGAGGUGUCUUGUGAGCUUCAACAAAAACUCUCUCGACACCCGAGGUUCCACGAAACUCUCUUGACAUCCCAUGAUCACGGGGUCCUAGACCCUCGUGUGCACNNNNNNNNNNNNNNNNNNNNNNNNNNNNNNNNNNNNNNNNNNNNNNNNNNNNNNNNNNNNNNNNNNNNNNNNNNNNNNNNNNNNNNNNNNNNNNNNNNNNCCAAACAUUUUGAGUAUGUGCUCACUGACAGAACUGUUCUCCUCCAUCUUACAGCUAAAGAACUUGUCGGAGACUUCAUAUCUCUCGACACGAGCAUGAGCUUGAAAAACUAGCUUCAGCUCCUGGAACAUCUCAUGUGCUCCGUGUUGCUCAAAACGCCUUUGGAGCCCCGUUUCUAAACUGUAUAACAUGCCACACCUAACCAGAGAGUAGUCAUCACUCCGCGUUUGCCAGACGUUCAGAAUGCCCUGGGCUGCCGCGGGAGCGGGAGGGUCACCUAGCGGCGCAUCAAGGGCAUAAGCCUUUUUAUCUGCCUCAAGGAUGAGCUNNUAGCGGCGCAUCAAGGGCAUAAGCCUUUUUAUCUGCUUCAAGGAUGAGCUUCAAGUUGCGAACCCAGUCCGCAUAGUUGCUACCAUCAUCUUUCAGCUUGUUUUUCUCUAGGAAUGUGUUGAAAUUGAGGUUGACGUUGGCCAUCUACAAUAUUUAUAAAGACAAACCUUUUAGACUAAGUUCAUGACAAUUAAGUUCAUUUAAUCAAAUUAAGUAUGAACUCCCACUUAAAUCGACAUCCCUCUAGUCAUCUAAGUGAUACAUGAUCCAUGUUGACUAACCCGUGUCCGAUCAUCACGUGAGACGGACUAGUCACCAUGGUGAGCAACUUCAUGCUGAUCGUAUUCAACCAUACGACUCAUGUUCCACCUUUCGUGCUGAUCGUAUUCAACCAUACGACUCAUGUUCGACCUUUCGGUCUCUUGUAUUUGAGGUCAUGUCUGUACAUGCUAAGCUCGUCGAGUCAACCUAGGUGUUUCGCGUGUGUAAAUCUGGCUUACACCCGUUGUAUGCGAACGUUAGAAUCUAUCACACCCGAUCAUCACGUGGUGCUUCGAGACAACGAACCUUCGCAACGGUGCACACUUAGGGGAAUACGUUCUCGAAAUUUUAAGAGGGAUCAUCUUAUUAUGCUACCGUCGUUCUAAGCAAUAAGAUGAAAAACAUGAUAAACAUCACAAUACAAUCAUAUAGUGUCAUGAUAUGGCCAUUAUCAUCUUUGCUCUUUCGAUCUCCAUCUUCAGGCAUCGCAUGAUCAUCACCAUCACCGGCAUGACACCAUGAUCUCCAUCAUCAUGAUCUCCAUCAUCGUGUCUCCGUGAAGUCGUCACGCCAAUUACUUCUAUCACUACCACUAUGGCUAACCGUUAGCAAUGAAGUAAAAGUAGUAAGCACAUGGCGUUGCAUCUCAUACAAUAAAUUAAGACAACUCCUAUGGCUCCUGCCGGUUGUCAUACUCAUCGACAUGGAAGUCGUGAAACCUAUUACAAUAACAUGAUCAUCUCAUACAUCAUACAUGCAACAUCACAACUUUGGCCAUAUCACAUCACAUGUCAAACCGUGCAAAAACAAGUUAGACGUCCUCUAAUUGUUGUUGCAAGUUUUACGUGGCUGAUUUGUGUUUCUAGCAAGAACGCCUUCUUACCUAUGUGAAAGCCACAACGAUGAUAUGCCAAAGCUAUUUACCCUUCAUAAGGACCCUUUUCAUCAAAUCAAUCCGACUAGAGUAGGAGAGACAGACACCCGCUAGCCACCUUUAUGCACGGUGUGCAUGUCUGUCGGUGGAACCAGUCUCACGUAAGCGUACGUGUAAAGUCGGUCCGGGCCUCUNNNNNNNNNNNNNNNNNNNNNNNNNNNNNNNNNNNNNGGGCCUCUUCAUCCCACAAUACCACCGGUAAAGAAUAAGACUAGUAGCGGCAAGCAAAUUGACAAAUCAUCGCCCACAACUUUUGUGUUCUACUCGUGCAUAGAAUCUACGCAUAGAAAACCUGGCUCGGAUGCCACUGUUGGGUAACGUAGCAUAAAUUGAAAAUUUUCCUACGCAUAUUCAGAUCUUCCUAUGGAGAGACCAGCAACGAGAGAGGGGUAAGAGCAUCUUCAUACCUUUGAAGAUCGCUAAGCGGAAGCGUUGCUAGAACACGGUUGAUGGAGUCGUACUCGCAGCGAUUCCGAUCUAGUGCCGAACUACGGCACCUCCGCGUUCAACACACGUGCAGCCCGGUGACGUCUCCUGCACCUCGAUCCAGCAAGGAGGAGGGAGAGGUUGGGGAAGAACUCCAGCAGCAUGACGGCGUGGUGUCGAUGGAGAGACGAGGUCUCCCGGCAGGGCUUCGCCAAGCACGGGCAGAGAGGAGGAGGAAGAAGGGCAGGGUUGCGCCGAGAGAGAGGCAAAAGUCUAUCUCUCAAUGGCCAAAAGUGCCCGAUAUAUAUAGGGAGAUGGGAGAGGGGGUGCCACCCCUAGGGUUCCCACCCUAGGUGGUGCGGCAGCCCCCCCAGAUGGGAGGUGCGGCGGCCAGAGGGGGGAGGAGGGGGUGGCGCACCACCUGGUGGGCCUUAGGCCCACCUGGCUUAGGGUUUGCCCCUCUUUUCUCUCCCCUGCGCAUUGGGCUGAGUGGGGAGGCGCACCAGCCCACCUAGGUGCUGGUUCCCACCCCCACUUGGCCCAUCUUACCUCCCGGGGUCGUUGCCCCCCUUCGGUGGUCCCCCGGGGCCACCUCCGAUGGUCCGGGUGGUCCCGGUACGUUACCCGUUAUGCCCGAAACACUUCCGGUAUCCGAAACCAUCCGUCCUAUAUAUCAAUCUUUACCUCCGGACCAUUCCGGAGCUCCUCGUGAUGUCCGGAAUCUCAUCCAGGACUCCGAACAACUCUCGGUAACCUCGUAUAACAAUUCCCUAUAACCCUAGCGUCACCGAACCUUAAGUGUGUAGACCCUACGGGUUCGGGAGACAGGCAGACAUGACCGAGACACCUCUCUGGCCAAUAACCAUCAGCGGGGUCUGGAUACCCAUGGUGGCUCCCACUUUCUCCACGAUGAUCUCAUCGAAUGAACCACGAUGUCAAGGAUUCAAUCAAUCCCGUAUACGAUUCCCUCUGUCUGUCGGUAUAGAACUUGCCCGAGAUUCGAUCGUCGGUAUGCCUAUACCUUGUUCAAUCUCGUUACCGGUAAGUCUCUUUACUCGAUGCCCAUACGUUGUUCAAUCUCGUUACCGGUAAGUCUCUUUACUCGUUCCGUAGCACGUCAUCGUGUGACUAACUCCUUAGUCACAUUGAGCUCAUGAUGAUGUUCUACCGAGUGGGCCCAGAGAUACCUCUCCGUCACACGGAGUGACAAAUCCCGAUCUUGAUUCGUACCAACCCAACAGACACUUUCAGAGAUACCCGUAAUGCACCUUUAUAGUCACCCAGUUACGUUGUGACGUUUGAUACACCCAAAGCACUCCUACGGUAUCCGGGAGUUGCACAAUCUCACGGUCGAAGGAAAAGACACUUGACAUUAGAAAAGCUUUAGUAUGCGAACAAUACGAUCUAGUGCUAUGCUUAGGAUUGGGUCUUGUCCAUCACAUCAUUCUCCCAAUGAUGUGAUCCCGUUAUCAAUGACAUNNNNNNNNNNNNNNNNNNNNNNNNNNNNNNNNNNNNNNNNNNNNNNNNNNNNNNNNNNNNNNNNNNNNNNNNNNNNNNNNNNNNNNNNNNNNNNNNNNNNAGUCUACCUCGGUGUACUAAUUUUCAUAGUAGUAAGGAUGAAAUUAGCUGGAAGACAAAUGGUGUGUCACACAAAUCGUAUAUUUCAAGUCAAAGGUAUGAUUCAUAUACAAGGUGUGAUUCUACUGUGAGUACGAUUUGAAACAUGCUAUACCCCGAAGAAAGCUAGAAUGUGAUAUGAAUUCACUACUCAACAAGAAGGAUACCCGCACAAACUUUUUCAUACAAGUAUCCAGCAGUCGGAAUAUUAANNNNNNNNNNNNNNNNNNNNNNNNNNNNNNNNNNNAGCAGUCGGAAUAUUAAAGGGUAUAUAUAUGGUAGUAAGUCAACAUAUCCCAGAUAGAAGCUUCUACUGUAAGCAACCUAGUCUGCCCUCACAAGCUACCGAAGAAGCUUACAAUGCAUGAUUCCUCUACCUUCCUCAGUAUGAUACGUGGAUGAAUUCUCGUGCAAGAUACUCAUGCUUCUUCCGUAAGCUACUGCAAAAGCUUCUGGCAUAAGGUAUUGAGUCUUCCCUAGCAAGACUUUAAGGGGGGAAGCUUCUAAAGUACGGUACUCAAUCUUCUUCAACAAGCUGUCUGACAAAAGCUUUGAGCACAAGCUAUUCAACUCGAUACUCUCGAUGUCUUCCAAUGGAAGCCGUCCAACUUUCCUCAAUACGACACCGCUCCAAGAUAUUACACACUAAUAUGGUAAUAUAUGGCAGUACAUCCCAAGAAUCAAAUCCACAAUAGUUUGGUCAGAAGCUAGAAUCAAUCAGAACACAAGUCUACCUCAGGAAUCAAAUACUUCCAUAAACACUAUGAGCAUGCUACCAAAUUCAUGCAAGUCACUCGCACGAUGAUGAAAUAACGGUAAGAAUCCAACAACCUCACGAGUUACGCAAGAGUAAAAAGUGAGUUAUACACUUCAGGGAGUGAUGCAGGGACCGACCAACUUUGUUGAAAGAUAGCGUGAGAAAAUUAUUUUUGGCAGUGCAUAUCCAGGCCAAACAUGGUGAUAUCGUUAACCCUUAUCACGAGCUUGUAUGAUGGACGACAACAAUGAGCUCUCUACAAGCACAUGUGAAUCUAGCAUAUAUCCUAUGGCCCGAGUCGUGAACAAGGCCAAUGUAUGAUGGCCAAAAUAUUGCAUAUGACAGCACCUCUGGUCACAAGAAUUGAAGAUAUAUAUGUGGACAAGAUCCUUCGGCAAAAGGAUCCACACAAAGAAACCAAUAAUGAAGGAGCGAGACCGUCAAUACAAAUAUGCCACUUGUUGCUUGACCAACAAGGUAGAGAUACCAGGACGGUCAGGUUUAGUAUUGUUUACCAUUGACUAUCCACCUAAGGGGUCUACUCCAUCUGUAAGGACCUCAUAUCAAGAUAACCCGCUCAACCAACAUUAUCUGCUCAAAACUGCUAGUAUCGACUAUCCAAGUCUAUCACGUAAAACAAAAGGCCAGCUCAACAGAUUAAAUUCAAUAACCGUGUUAAAGCAUGACAAAUCCUACUAUCCACAAGAAUAUAGCAACCGAAUAAGAAUGUAGUAUGCUAAACAACAGUCUCGAAGCAUGUGCCCUCGCAUAGGGGAAUCAGUUAAAGGAUAGCCUGCCAAGAACAAGAUGCUUCUGUCAGAACCAACGUCUGUUAAGUCUCGAGAUGCUACUAUUAUAAGGCUAUACUCCUUUCUACUGGUCACAACAAACGACAGUCAGACCUUUGGUAUGAAUCUGGUACUCAAGACAGUGGAAAUAUCCAAGAUGAUGAAGGAAUACGAGUGAGAAGUCACACNNNNNNNNNNNNNNNNNNNNNNNNNNNNNNNNNNNNNNNNNNNNNNNNNNNNNNNNNNNNNNNNNNNNNNNNNNNNNNNNNNNNNNNNNNNNNNNNNNNNCUUGGAUAAAAUAGGUCAUUCCGGAGCAAACUAUGCUUAUUAAGCCAGUUUGGAUCUAGCUAGGCUAAUUAUAGGCCAUUUAAUACCUAAAUUAGAGGGAAUUGGUCAUCUUACAACUACGUAAGCCUUAUUAUGUUAUUUAGGAGAGAACUUAGCUAACUGUAGGUCAUUUUUUAUUAAAUAGGUCAUUUUGGAGCUAACUAAGCUAAUUAUGUCAUUUCGUAGGAUAAUUAGCCAAUUUAGCCUUUCUUAGAUGAGUCUAAGCUACGUAGAAGAAGAGAAAGAGAAGAAGAAGUAAAAGAAGGAGGAGGAGGAGGAGGAGGAGAAGGAGAAGGAAGAGGAGAAGAAGAAGAAAAGAAGAAGGAGAAGGAGAAGGAGGAAGAAGAAGGAGAAGGAGGAGCUCCUUCUCCUUCUUCUUAUCCUCCUCCUUCUCCUUCUUCGUAGGAUAAUUAGCCAAUAUAGCCAUUUUGGAGCUAACUAAGUUAAUUAUGUCAUUUAGAUGGAAGUCUAGUUAUUUUUUAUUAAAACACNNNNNNNNNNNNNNNNNNNNNNNNNNNNNNNNNNNNNNNNNNNNNNNNNNNNNCUAGAAAUAACAUAACAUUAUCGUCAUCACAGCGGUGAAGCACGGUGGCUCUGGCUUGUUUCACCUGGAGAAGGCUGCCAUGGAGAAGGCUCGACUGUAGAAGGGUCGUGCGAUGCUUUUUGGGAGAUAUUCUGCACCAAACAUCAUUUGCAAUGUGUAGUUAGCAUGAGGACACUCUUAAGAUCACUGCACUGAAAUGAAACUCACCAUCCCCGCCACGUUAAUGACUGGCAUCGGCGGAGGGACUUGGUCGCUCUUCUCGCACAUAGACUGUACAUUUGGUUUCGACAAGUCAAACUUUUUAUUUAUUAAUGAAACGGACAUUCAAAUGCAAGAUUUGAAAUAACAUGAAGAAGAAACUUACCACGAAGAGCUCGUAUAUGGCCCUGUUAGACGCAUCAUUCCGUGCCCUCUCCGCCUCCACCAAUGCAGUCGUCCUCUCCUCCAGCUCCCUAAUUUCCUUAUCCUUCUCCGCCAUAGCCGCCUGCAUUGCCUCUCUCUCUUUCUGAAUAGCAGCCUGCAACACAACUCGUUGUUAGCAAUGUAAUCAUAUUGGUUCCAACGCACAACAUAAUGCGGAAAGAUAGUUGAGUCCAUUAAACUAACCUCGAUGGUGAGCUCGAGGUCGUGGAUGACGUGUUAUCUCCGUACAAGAGCUCGUUUGGCAUGCCUUUAUCUACCGGAGAGUGCUAGGACAACGUAUAAGGUCGUCUCCAAUGGAGAUCGAGCCAUGGGGCCUCCCGUUGCCAGCUAUCAUCACCAGCUCUGGAUCAAUAGGCCCCCCGCUCGGGUUAAAGUCCUCCCCUUUCCUCGCCUUCCCGUGAUCUCUGUACUUCACGAGCUUGUGGUGGGAGGCGAUGUUGGUGAAGUUUUCUGGAUGCUUGUGGUGGGAGGAGAUGUUGGUGAAGUUUUCUGGAUGCUCGAGGUCAGACUCAGAGAAUGCCUUGACCUUCUUUUACGAGGCAGUAUGGGCCAUCGCAUACAGGUCGUACAUCUGUGGCACCUCCGUCUUAUUGUGAUGCGACUAAAAGAGAGAGAGAGGAAAUUGUAUUCGUAGAGGGCUCAAGAUAGCAUUAAGAAUGAACUGCAUGAGGCAUGAAGCAAACCACAUACCGAGUUCUCGCCAAAUUGGAUUAAGUUGAUGCUCCCUUGAUGGUGUGGNNNNNNNNNNNNNNNNNNNNNNNNNNNNNNNNNNNNNNNNNNNNNNNNGGCACGCCAACCAUUUUGCCACGCCUCUCCUUGGCGUUGUUGUGGCUGGCCUCCCAUGUUUCGGAGCACCACUGGUCCACCAAUGCCUCCCAACAAUCCAUCUUAUCCACACACCAUCUCGGGGGCACCUAAGUUAAUAAAGAGAAAUUUGAGCGCGUAAGAACCAAAUCAAGGAAACUAACUACAAAGCCUUAAUAAUAUGUAAUUACCUUCAUGUAAUUCUCCUUCUCCAUCUUAGCGUCACGGCACUUCGCCUUGUCAAUCCUAAUACGCCACGUGGCAUAGUAGUCUCGAACACCCUGCACCCGAGCCUCGUGCCGAAAGUUUUGAAGUAGGCGGCGACAUUCGGUUUCGAUAACCUUUGUUGCGUCCUCCUCGUAUCCCUCGUCACACCUGUAGUAGGUCUGCAAACGAGGCAACACCGAUUAGUACAAUAAAUAGCUAUGGUUGAUUUAUAAUUGUGUGAAGGAGAAAUUACCCAGAACUUUCGGAUCACCAUGUCCGCCCUCGUGUCGCACAAAACACCGUCGAUCUCCACCUCCGGCGGGGCCGGGGCACCCAAGUAGUGCUCCCAGGUCAUUCCUACCUCUCGCUCCCGACCGGGAAACGUAACAAACCCUGGGAAGUUUUUACGGCAAAGCGCACCAAGGACGCUGUUGGGUUUGCGGACCCCCUUGGCAACAAUCCAACCCCUACAGUAUGACAAAUUAAAGACAAAACAUUAGAUAUUUGGGAAAACGCGAAGGCAAAAGGUUAAAUAAGAGUAAAUUAACUUACUUGUCCCCAUUUGGCCUAAUCGACCACCUGUGCUCGGGGUUCGCUGGCACGAGCGGGAGCCCCGAACUACCACACUGGUAGACAAUAGCCCCCUCACCUAUCUCCUCGUCGCUACCAGCAUCCGACUAGGUCUCUUANNNNNNNNNNNNNNNNNNNNNNNCAUCCGACUAGGUCUCUUAGGACGUACCCUCAUCCCUUCUUUGCUCCGGAGUCGCCUGGAAUGAAGCCUCUGGGACACGAGUCUCAUGGGUCGAAGGCUCGUCGACCUAAGGCUCGUCGACCCGAGGCUCGUGCACUGGAUAUAGUGUAGCCUCCACCUCAGACGAAUCCACCCUAGAAGUCCUGUGCUUAGGUGAAUCAGCGUGGGGUGGUGGCGAAGACCGUGUAGCCGCCACCUCAGAAGGCGUGGCAGCCACCGCCCUACCUCUCCUGCGGCCACGUGUACCUUUAGUACUACAUAAAUACCAACAUGAGUAAUAAAAUGUAUAUAAAUACCAUUAUGCAUACAACAUGAGUACAACAUAAAUACCAACAUGAAUACAACGUGUACCUUUAGUACCUCUCGGCUUCGCGGGGGGUCGACCUCCUCUCACGGGGGGUGCUCCUUGCAUAGUAGAGAGCAACACUCUCCGAAGAGGCGAGGCAGGAAUGGAAGUACCCAUCCCAUCACCCACCGACGAAGAAGGAGCCGCGGAGUGCUUUCGACCCUUUCCCACCAUCUUUCAACACCUGUCAUGACAAAGGGUAAAUGAAAUUAGUACAAAAUAAAUACCAACAUGAGUAAUAAAAUGUAUAUAAUUUAAGUGUAUCAUCAUCAUAAAUACCAACANNNNNNNNNNNNNNNNNNNNNNNNNNNNNNNNNNNNNNNNNNNNNNNNNNNNNNNNNNNNNNNNNNNNNNNNNNNNNNNNNNNNNNNNNNNNNNNNNNNNACCAAAUUAGGUCUUACUUUUAUGUAGUUUCCUUGGUGAUAUUCAUAUGCCUCUGUUAUACUUUACUUGAUGUUAAGUUAUAUGCUAUGUGACAUGAUAGCAAGUCAGGAAGGCUGAAAGUGGGAGGCCAUGUUGAACGCAACGAUUAUUGAUACACUUAGGCUAUUAGGAAACCAAGAUCUUGAAAUAUAUUUUUCUAAGAAUGAGCACACUAUCCAUACGCAGGACAUUAUGGGAGCCCAUGGACACUUUCUACAGUUGUAAAUUGUCCACGGGUCAUAAUGGUGUUGUACUAUUUGUAUGUAUUGUUUUGCAGGUAUGAGGAGACGUUCCAUGGUAAUGGUAUGAUUUUACCAUUAGGGUGUUUUUUCCCAUGAUGUUCCUUUGGGCCCGCAUGUGUAGGACUUCCCCACUAGUCCUAAAAUUGUGUGGUUGCGAAUGGCUAUGCUCGGACUCGACACUAGCCACGUGUCACUGGUGUGACACAAUUGGAUCCGAUUCAGAGAUAUAUCUCCCCGACUAGGAUGUAGUAACGAAGUACGUAUCAUUUGUUUGAAACUACGUAGCUUAGCCCGUCGUGGGUCACAACAUAAGGUCGGCGAGCAUGUGUUGUCAUGCCAUUCAGAACUUUAGCUGCUAUCACAAGAAAUGGGCGCCCCCCGUGGGUCAGUUCUUGUUGUGAACAACGUGUGUAUGGAGCUUAUAGUGGGUAUGCAUGGUUAAGGAUGACUUGAGCUUUAUGACAGUUCAUAAGAUAACUUCAAUCAUACUCGCCAAAACUUGUCCGCCCUUAAACUUCAUGUUAAUUGCAUGUUCUACUUCAACCAUAAUUAAUGGAAACCCGUGCACCACAUGAGUGACAUGGGGUAAUUCCUUGGGGAGGGUGUCAGGGAGGAUUCGUGGUGGUGGUAUGCUUGACAGUUGGAUAGAAUGCUCAUGUGCACACAACACUUGUGUUGUGAUGCAUGAAAUUUGGGACAUGUGGUCCUUUGGUUCUCAUGUUGUUCCACUAGACAUAAGUUGUAGCAUUGCCUAGUGCUUGCAACUUCACCACUCAUCCUUUCCAUACCUAUCGGUAUUGUUAUUUGUAGUACCCUUGGUAAUGAUACUUUUCAAGUACCCUGGUACUCACCCUUACCAUAAUAACAGGUUGCAUAUAUUGUGAUGGAUAAUGUUAGCUUGGUUGUCCUUCGGACAAUGGUCUUGGCAAGGUAAUGGACGCAUUUGCUUUUAUUUGAGCCUUCUUGACGCAAUUUGUAUUCUUGCUUCUCCGCCUCCCCCAUAUGAAUUGGACUUUGGUCAUAAGACCCUGAAUGUAUCAAAUAUUGCAUAUGUAUGUAUCUUGUUGUAUGCGGAACUUAUAAUNNNNNNNNNNNNNNNNNNNNNNNNNNNNNNNNNNNNNNNNNNNNNNNNNNNNNNNNNNNNNNNNNNNNNNNNNNNNNNNNNNNNNNNNNNNNNNNNNNNNUCACCUACAUGCUACGUCAACAACAUCAUUCGAAGGUAUGUACUCAUUCGAAGUGAUAUGAGGAGAUCGAAAUUCUUAAUCGAAAAAAUGGUAAACCAAUUUCGCGCUUAACGAUGAGUAUGACCUAUGAUCAAGCAUCCUUGCUUGACUCCUCAAGUCAAAUACUCUAAUAUACACUACAGGAAUUAGCUUCUUUGCCAUCUUCCAUCACAGACGGCAAAGAGUAUAUCACAGACUGCAAAGAGUAUAUCACAAACGGCAAAGAAUCUCACUGUCGACAAAAUUUCCGCGUUAGCCUACGACAACAUUGUAGCUUCUUUGUCGUCUGCUUCACCGAAACGGACGGCAAAGCUCUUUGCCGUGAGCUUUCCAUGAGAGCAGUCGGCAAAUAUGUCGAGACGGUAGCCGGCAGGCGUUGCCUCCGUUAGGGACUAACGGAGGCUUUGCCGUCUGCCUCCCCUCUUCUGUGCCGUCUGCCCCCCCCCCUCUUCUUUGCCAUAUGCCUCCCCCUCCUCUGUGCCAUCUGCCUCCCCCCUCUUCUUUGUCGUCUGCAUCCCCCCUCUUCUGUGCGGUCUACCUCCCCCUCUUCUUUGCCGUCAGCCUCCACCUCCUCCCCCCCUCCUCUCUGCCCUCUUCUUUGCCGUCUACCCCCUCCCUUGAAGCAGACGGCAAAGAUACUAUAUGUCCAGCUGCUGCUGCCCAGGUUGCACAGCUGGGUGCCACGUGGCACCUUUGCCGUCGGUCAGCUGAUGGCAAAGGCCUUUGCCAUCAGCUGGCAGACGGCAAAGAGCCUAUAUUGUCACAUUUUUGUUUAUUUUUUCUAUUUCAUAGCACAUAUAUAUAUAAUUCAUAGCACAUCUAUGAUAAAUAGGUCACAACACAUAUAUGAUAUACAUAUAAAGCUCAUCAAUGCCAUUUGUUCAUCAAAGUACAUCACAUAUAUUAAAAGAACCAACACAUACAAAGUUUCGUCCAUAUAUACAUACAUAUAGUUGCACAUAUAUUGUUCAUCCAUAUAUACAUAUACAUAUAGUUCCACAUUGUUCAUCAACUCAAAUAAAAACGGGAACUAAAGCACUCCAAUGCCAGCUUCCAUGCAUGUAGUACAUCCAAUCUGCAAAAUGGGAAUAAGAAACACAGAAGAAGAAGAAGAAGAAGAACAUAUAUAUGACAAAUAAGCUAAAUUGAAGAAGAAAGAGAAGAAGCAAGAAGAGAACAAGGAGAAGAAAAACAAGGAGGAGGAGGAGGAGGAGGAGGGGAAGGAGAAGGACAAGGAGGAGGAGAAGAAGAAAAAAGAAGAAGAGAAGAAGAAGGAGAAGAAGGAGGAGAAGGAGGAGAGAAGAAGAAGGAGAAGAAGGAUGGCUCCUUCUCCUUCUUCUCCUCCUUCUCCUCCUCCUCCUUCUUCUUCUCCUUCUCCUUCUCCUUCUCUUCUUCUUCUCUUCUUUUUCUUCUUCUUCCUUCUUUUCAUUUCUCCUCUUCUUGGAGCUAAAUUAGCUAACUAUGUCUUUUCGCAGCUAAAUGGGCUAAUUAUGUCAUUCUAGCGGAAAACAAGCUAAGUAUAUAAUAUUAAUGAGCUAAUCAAGGUUCUUAUGCCAUUUUGAGCUUAUUAUGUCUUUUAGGAGCUUAAUUAGUCAUUUUAUUGAGCUAACCAAGGUUCUUAUGAUGUUUUUACCUAACUAAGCUAAUUAUGUCAUUUUGGAUGAUAAUUGGCUAAGUAUGUCUUUGUUGGGGAAAAUAAGCUAAAUUGAAGAAGAAGAGGAGAAGAAGGAGGGAAGAAGAAGGAGAAUAAGGAGGGCUCCUUCUCCUCCUUCUCCUUCUUCUCUUCUUCUUCUCCUCCUCCUUCUUCUCCUUCUCCUUCUCUUCUCUUUCUCUUCUUCUUUUUGUUCUUCCUUUUUAUUUCUCCUCUUCUCCUCUUCUUGGAGCUAAAUUAGCUAACUAUGUCAUUAUAGAGGAAAACAAGCUAAGUAUAUAAUAUUAAUGAGCUAACCAAGGUUCUUAUGCCAUUUUGAGCUUAUAAUGUCUUUUUGGAGCUAAAUUGUCUAAUUAUGUCAUUGUUGGGGAAAUUAAGGCAAGGAGAAUAUGAAAGAAGAAAAGAAAGAGGAGGAGGAGAAGAAGAAGAAGAAAUAAAGAAGGAGGAGGAGAAGGACUAGAAGGUCCUUGGCCUUCUCCUCCUUCUCCUCCUCCUCCUCCUCCUCCUUCUCCUUCUUCUNNNNNNNNNNNNNNNNNNNNNNNNNNNNNNNNNNNNNNNNNNNNNNNNNNNNNNNNNNNNNNNNNNNNNNNNNNNNNNNNNNNNNNNNNNNNNNNNNNNNGGAGGAGGAGAAGGACUAGAAGGUCCUUGGCCUUCUCCUCCUUCUUCUCCUCCUCCUCCUCCACCUCCUCCUUCUUCUCCUCCUCCUUCUUCUCCUUCUCCUUCUCUUCUCUUUUUCUUCUUUUUUGUUCUUCCUUUUCAUUUCUCCUCUUCUUGGAGCUAAAUUAGCUAACUAUGUCAUUAUAGAGGAAAACAAGCUAAGUAUAUAAUAUUAAUGAGCUAACCAAGGUUCUUAUGCCAUUUUGAGCUUAUAAUGUCUUUUUGGAGCUAACCAAGGUUUUUAUGCCAUUAAGGAGAAUAAGGAGGAGGAGGAGGAGGAGAAGGACUAGAAGGUCCUUGGCCUUCUCCUCCUUCUCCUCCUCCUCCUCCUCCUUCUCCUUCUUCUCUUCUUCUUCUUUCUUUUCAUUUUUCCUAUUUAUUCUCCUCUUCACCUCUUCUUGGAGCUAAAUUAGCUAAAUAUGUCUUUUUGGAGCUAAAUGGUAUAAUUAUCCCAUUUUAGAGGAAAACAAGCUAAGUAUAUAAUAUUAAUAAGCUAACCAAGCUUCUUAUGCCAUUUUGAGGUUAUUAUGGCAUUUUGGAGCUAAAUGGUCUAAUUAUGUCAUUGUUGGGGAAAUUAAGGAAAGGAUAAUAUGAAAGAGGAGAAGAAAGAGGAGGAGGAGAAGAAGAAGAAGAAAUAAAGAAGAAGGAGGAGAAGGAGGAGGAGGAGGAGAAGGACUAGAAGGUCCUUGGCCUUCUCCUCCUGCUCCUCUUCCUCCUCCUCCUCCUUCUCCUUCUUCUCUUCUUCUUCUUUCUUUUCGANNNNNNNNNNNNNNNNNNNNNNNNNNNNNNNNNNNNNNNNNNNNNNNNNNNNNNNNNNNNNNNNNNNNNNNNNNNNNNNNNNNNNNNNNNNNNNNNNNNNCCGCGUAAUGCCCCGGGGUAACCCUGAGGCCUUCUGGACCCCCUCCCGAGGAGCCUCCAACACUGGCACAGGCGGCGCUACUAAAGGAGAGGCGCCACAAAGAACAAGAGGCCCCGAAGGCUGCUGCACAGCUGCGAGCGUCAGCACCUUCAGAGGCCGGGGAUCCUUGGAGGCCAGUUCUCCAUGCAACGGCGUCCCCACGCUCACCAGAGGAUGCUUCGGGGGCUCGGGGGGCUUGACGACCAAGGCCAGGGAGGCCGCCCAAAGAUCCCCUCCUCCUCCUCCUUACCCGUAGACGGUGAUGUGUCGACAAGGGCAGGCGGGGCAUCGAGAGACGCCUUCGGCCUAGCAACCGUCUUCUUCUUCUUCGGCGUGAGACCAAAUCAGCGUUCGCCCAUGCUCACUGGACUCACCCACGGUCCAUGGAAGCACCGAGACGAGAUCCGCCUCCUUGGAGAGGGCGCAGUCCAGGAGCGGAGAAGUUGGGGCCAGGCCAUGCCCCUCUGGCUUAUACUUGCCGGUGGUGCCAUCGCUGGAUUGUCGAGUAACUAUGCGACACUGGAUCUGGGAGGCAUCGGCCGGAGUCAAAGGCUUAAGAAGAAAGACGAGUGCGGUAAAAGGAAGGCAAUAAGGCACCGAAGCUACAAGCAGGGCACCUAAUAAAGGGGGCAGAGAUAGAGGACAAGGAGGCAUGGACGCCAUCCGCGUGUCGUGCGCCGGCCUGGACCAUAGGUGUUUGAGGGCCCACGACGUCUCAUGCUACCCCUCAAGGCUCCUCCCUGAAGCCAACCCGAGCACACCGCAUGUCCGGCGGCUACUGUCGGCCUUCUGGGACUCGGGGUACCCAGACCUGCCUGCCUGUGGCCCAGGACGGGCCCGCUUCACUAGAGUGACGCAACAAGCCCAGUGAUAACCCACAAGUAUAAGGGAUCACAACAGUUUUCGAGGGUAGAGUAUUCAACCCAAACAUAUUGAUUCGACACAAGGGGAAGCCAAAGAAUAUUCUCAAGUAUUAGCAGUUGAGUUGUCAAUUCAACCACACCUAAAAGACUUAGUAUCUGCCGCAAAUCUAUCAGUAGCAAGGUAGUGUGAUAGCAACAGUAACCAGUAGCAACAAAGUGACAGCAGUGGUGACAGAGUAACAGUAGCAGCAGUAACAACAGUAGCGGCAAAGUAACGUAGCAAGGACCAGUAGGAAAAACUCGUAGGCAUUGGAUCAGUGAUGGAUGAUUAUGCCAGAAGGUAUUCAUCAUGCAACAGUUAUAACACGGNNNNNNNNNNNNNNNNNNNNNNNNNNNNNNNNNNNNNNNNNNNNNNNNNNNNNNNNNNNNNNNNNNNNNNNNNNNNNNNNNNNNNNNNNNNNNNNNNNNNCUUAAUGCUUAAUAUGUAAGCAGCCUCUCCUAGGUAAUUCGUUGAAAAACAUUAGUUCAAGUAAUCCUUUACACUCUCUAAAAACUCCACAUUGUUUUCAAUCAGCAAUAUGUCAUCCACAUAUAACAUUAGAAACGCUACAGAGCUCCCACUCACUUUCUUGUAUAUAGAAGAUUCUCCAACAACUUGUAUAAUCCCAAAUGUCUUGAUCACCUCAUCAAAGCGUUUAUUCCAACUCCGAAAUGCUUGCACCAGUCCAUAAAUAGAUCGCUAGAGCUUGCAUACUUUGCUAGCAUUCUUUGGAUCGACAAAACCUUCGGAUUGCAUCAUAUACAAGUCUUCCUUAAGAAACCAUUAAGGAACCCCAUUUUGACAUCCAUCAUCAUAUACAAGUCUUCCUUAAGAAACCAUUAAGGAACACCAUUUUGACAUCCAUCUGCCAAAUUUCAUAAUCGAAAUAUGCAGCAAUUGCUAACAUGAUUCGGACGGACUUAAGCAUCGCUACCAGUGAUAAUGUAUCAUCGUAGUCAACAACUUGAACUUGUGAAAAUACUUUUUCCACAAGUCGAGCUUUAUAAAAGGUCACAUUACCAACCGCGUCCGUCUUCUUGAAGAUCCAUUUGUUCUGAAUAGCCUUGCAACCUUCAGGUAAUACUUCCAAAGUCCACACUUUGUUUUCAUACAUAGACCCUAUCUCGGAUUUCAUGGCCUCUAGCCAUUUAUUGGAAUCAGGGCCCACCAUUGCUUCUUCAUAAUUCGCAGGCUCGUUGUUGUCUAACAACAUGAUAGAUAAGACAGGAUUUCCGUACCACUCAGGAGCAGUACGUGAUCUGGUCGACCUGCGAGGUCCGAUAGUAACUUGAUCCGAAACUUCAUGAUCACCAUCAUUAGCUUCCUCCUCAACCGGUGUUUCCUCGACACAGAUUUCCCUCUGCCCCGCGCCACCAUCUUGAGCGAGCAGAGGUUCCAAAACCUCAUCAAUUCUUUCGAGAGAAACUAUUUCUCAAGAAAAGCUUCGUUCUUAGAAACAAACACUUUGCCCUCGGAUCUGAGAUAGAAGGUGUACCCAACUGUCUCUUUUGGACAACUAUGAAGACGCACUUUUCCGCUUUGGGUUCCAGCUUUUCAGGCUGAAGCUUUUUGACAUAAGCAUCGCAUCCACAAACUUUAAGAAACGACAACUUUGGCAUCUUGCCACACCAUAGUUCAUAUGGUGUCGUCUCAACGGAUUUUGAUGGUGCCCUAUUUAAAGUGUAUGCAGAUGUCUCUAAUGCAUAACCCCAAAACGAUAAUGGCAAACCGGUAAGAUACAUCAUAGAUCGCACCAUAUCUAACGAAGUAGGAUUACGACGUUUGGACACACCAUUACGAUGUGGUGUUCCAGGCGGUGUCAACUGUGAAACAAUUCCAAAUUGUCUUAAGUGAGCACCAAACUCAAAACUCAGAUAUUCGCCCCCUCGAUCAGAUCAUAGGAACUUAAUCUUCUUGCUACGAUGAUUUUCAACUUCACUUUGAAAUUGCUUGAAGUUUUGAAAUGUUUCAGACUUGUACUUCAUCAAGUAGAUAUAUCCAUAGCUACUCAAAUCAUCAGUGAAGGUGAGAAAAUAACGAUAUCCGUAGCGCGCCUCCACACUCAUUGGCCCGCACACAUCAGUAUGUAUGAUCUCCAACAAGUCACUUGCACGCUCCAUUGUUCCGGAGAAUGGAGUCUUAGUCAUCUUGCCCAUGAGGCAUGGUUCGCACUUGUCAAGUGAUUCGAAAUCAAGUGACUCCAAAAUUCCAUCAGCAUGGAUUUUCUUCAUGCGCUUUACACCAAAAUGACCUAAGCAGCAGUGCCACAAAAAGGUUGCGCUAUCAUUGUUAACUCUACAUCUUUUGGUCUCAAUGUUAUGGAUAUGUGUGUCAUCAUAAUCAAGAUUCAAUAUGAACAAACCCCUCACAUUUGGUGCAUGACCAUAAAAGAUAUUACUCAUAAAAAUAGAACAACCAUUNNNNNNNNNNNNNNNNNNNNNNNNNNNNNNNNNNNNNNNNNNNNNNNNNNNNNNNNNNNNNNNNNNNNNNNNNNNNNNNNNNNNNNNNNNNNNNNNNNNNAACACAGUUUUGAACUCAAAAGGACAUGCAUAUAUUUGAGCCACCCAAUGCAAGGAACAAAAGAUUUGGUGUCCACCGGAAAAAAAUAUUCACAAUUCCAUCGAAUGUUGUUAGUGCUGGAUGCCACAUUUGUAGAAAAAUCAGGCUCAGACUUGUGAGAAGGAGAUAUACCUCACUCAUGAUGAUCUAUCACGCACAGCUAAGCCGAUAGAUAAGAAAUUAAUUGGCGACCGUAUUGUCGGAUUUCGGGCUCCACAAAGCCCUAAGGAUCCGAACANNNNNNNNNNNNNNNNNNNNNNNNNNNNNNNNNNNNNNNNNNNNNNNNNNNNCUAAGGAUCCGAACACUGGGGCGUGUAUGAAGAUCUCCCCUGCUUCGCCUCGCAUGUCUCACUACUCGAUGGAAACAAUGAAGGACUCACUCGAAGGUUCAGGCCGCUGCGAAGCAUAAAACACUACACCUGCUUUGAUGGAUUGCCUCUCUCUGAGGUUGAGGAACGAGAUGGUACACGACUUUUGCGCCUCCAGAGGCCAAGUGGCUAAGCGUGCUGCUCUAGGGUUUCGAUCCCCUCUCUCAACUAUCCUACCCUAUCUAUUUAUAGUGGAGGCCCGGGUCCUCUUCCCUNNNNNNNNNNNNNNNNNNNNNNNNNNNNNNNGGGUCCUCUUCCCUCUUAGCUUUGGCGGGAAGGGAUUCCACAACGACCAAUUUUGAAGGGGAACAUGCUCCCCUAACAAGAGAUGGUCUUCACCUGCAAAGUAAUUGUCCACCCCAUAGAGACCGGCUCGUGGAUGACGUUUGCCCUACUGGCGGGAGACUGCGGCUUUGUUGCACCAGAAGAUAAACCUUUGGGGGAUGCCUUUGGGAAGCAUGUACGCCCCACCUCCUUUGCACCAAAGGGGAAACUAUCUCGUCCUGCCAUAUGCUGCUCGCCUAUCCUUCCCUGGUGUCACCCUUGACUGCCGAGGACCGGCCCUGCCUCGUAAUAUCCACCAAUCCGGACGGGUCCUGAAGAGGCCCCCCUACGGGUCUUGACGCUGCUCCUCCUCAUGAGGCUUAGCUCCUCACGAGGGCCUGCCCUUAAGCCGUGCUGGGUGAUACGUCUCCAUCGUAUCUACUUUUCCAAACUCUUUUUCCCUUGUUUUGCACUCUAGUUUGCAUGAUUUGAAUGGAACUAACCCGGACUAAUGUUGUUUUCAGUAGAAUUGUCAUGGUGUUGUUUUUGCGCAGAAAUAAAAGUUCCCGGAAUGACCUGAAAAUUUACGAAGAAUUUUUUGUGGAAUAUAUAAAAAAUACUAGCGCAAGAAUCAACCGAAGAAGUGGAGCGUGGAGCCCACAAGCCCACCAGGCGUGCCCCCCUGGCCGCGCCUAACAGGUUUGUGGGGCCCACAUUGCUCCACCGCCUCCCAUUCCACCNNNNNNNNNNNNNNNNNNNNNNNNNNNNNNNNNNNNNNNNNNNNNNNNNNNNNNNNNNNNNNNNNNNNNNNNNNNNNNNNNNNNNNNNNNNNNNNNNNNNGAGCACAUACUCAAAAUGUUUGGGUUACACGGUCGUCUGACUUCACUUGGAGUCGAACUUCCGGAUGAUGCUAUAAUUGACUGAAUCCUCCAGUCUCUCCCAUCAAGCUACAAAGGCUUUGUGCUUAACUACAACAUGCAAGGGAUGGAGAAGACCAUUCCCGAGUUGUACUCGAUACUCAAGUCUGCAGAAGUAGAAAUCAAGAAAGAGCAUCAAGUGUUGAUGGUCAACAAGACCACUAGUUUCAAGAAGGGCAAGGGUAAGAAGAACUUCAAGAAAGACGGCAAAGCUGUUGCUGCGCCCGGUAAGCCAGAUGCUGAGAAGAAGAAAAAGAAUGGACCCAAGCCUGAGACUGAGUGCUUCUAUUGCAAGGGAAAAGGUCACUGGAAGCGGAACUGCCCCAAAUACUUAGCGGACAAGAAGGCCGGCAACGUUAAAGGUAUAUGUGAUAUACAUGUUAUUGAUGUGUACCUUACCAGCGCUCUUAGUAGCUCCUGGGUAUUUGAUACCGGUGUUGUUGCUCACAUUUGCAACUCAAAGCAGGAACUGCGGAAUAAGCGGAGACUGGCCAAGGACGAGGUGACGAUGCGCGUCGGGAAUUGUUCAAAGGUCGAUGUGAUCGCCGUCGGCACGCUACCUCUACAUCUACAAUCGGGAUUAGUUUUGAACCUUAAUAAUUGUUAUUUAGUACCAGCUUUAAGCAUGAACAUUGUAUCAGGGUCUUGCUUAAUGCGAGACGGCUACUCAUUUAAGUGAGAGAAUAAUGGUUGUUCUAUUUAUAUGAGUGAUAUGUUUUAUGGUCAUGCUCCGCUGGUAAAUGGUUUAUUCUUGAUGAAUCUCGAUCGUGAUGUUACACAUAUUCAUAGUGUGAGUACCAGAAAAUGUAAAGUUGAUAAUGAUAGUCCCACAUACUUGUGGCACUGCCGCCUUGGUCAUAUCAGCGUUAAGCGCAUGAAGAAGCUCCAUACAGAUGGACUAUUAGAGUCUCUUGACUUUGAAUCAUUUGACACAUGCGAACCGUGCCUCAUGGGCAAGAUGACUAAGACUCCAUUCUCAGGAAUAAUGGAGAGAGCAACCGACUUAUUGGAAAUAAUACAUACCGAUGUGUGUGGUCCAAUGAACGUUGAAGCUCGCGGUGGUUAUCGUUAUGUUCUCACUCUCACCGAUGAUUUGAGUAGGUAUGGGUAUAUCUACUUGAUGAAGCACAAAUCUGAGACGUUUGAAAAGUUCAAGGAAUUUCAGAGUGAGGUUGAGAAUCAACGUGACAGAAAAAUUAAAUGUCUACGAUCUGAUCGUGGAGGAGAAUAUUUGAGUCACGAGUUUGGCACACACCUAAGGAAGUGUGGAAUCGUUUCACAACUGACGCCNNNNNNNNNNNNNNNNNNNNNNNNNNNNNNNNNNNNNNNNNNNNNNNNNNNNNNNNNNNNNNNNNNNNNNNNNNNNNNNNNNNNNNNNNNNNNNNNNNNNCAUUGUGAUCUAUUUAUUCACACAUGUAUUACUGUUUCCUGUUAAUACAAUUAUAGCAUGAACAAUAGACGAUUAUCAUGAACAAGGAAAUAUGAUAAUAACCAUUUUAUUAUUGCCGCUAGGGCAUAUUUCCAACAGUCUCCCACUUGCACUAGAGUCGAUAAUCUAGUUACAUUGUGAUGUAUCGAACACCCAUAGCAUUAUGGUGUUGAUCAUGUUUCGCUCGUGGAAGAUGUUUAGUCAACGGGUCUGCAAUAUUCAGAUCCGUGUGUACUUUACAAAUAUCUAUCACUCCACUCUGGACAUGGUCCUGGAUGGAGUUGUAGCGGCAUUUGAUGUGCUUUGUCUUCCGGUGAAAUCUGGGUUCCUUGGCUAUGGCAAUGGCCCCAGUGUUAUCACAGAAGAGUGUCAUUGGACCCGACGCGCUUGGAACCACUCCAAGGUCGGUGAUGAGCUCCUUCAUCCAAAUUCCUUCAUGAGCUACUUUUGAAGAAGCUAUGUACUCCGCUUCACAUGUAGAUGCUGCCACGACUUCUUGCUUGCUACUGCACCAGCUCACCGCCCCACCAUUCAACACAUAUACGUAUCCGGUCUGUGACUUAGAGUCAUCCGGAUCUGUGUCGAAGCUAGCGUCGACGUAACCCUUUACGACGAGCUCUUCGUCACCUCCAUAAACGAGAAACAUUUCCUUAGUCCUUUUCAUGUACUUAAGGAUAUUCUUGACCGCUGUCCGGUGCUCCAUACCGGGAUCACUUUGGUACCUCCCUACCAAGCUUAUGGCAAGGUUUAUAUGAGGUUGGGUACACAGCAUGGCAUACAUUAGAGAGCCCACGGCUGAUGCGUAGGGGACAUAACUCAUCUUCUCUCUAUCUGCUGCCGUGGUCGGCGACUGAGUCUUAGUCAAUCUCAUAGCUUGCAAAACUGGCAAGAACCCUUUCUUUGAGUUUUCCAUAUUGAACUUCAAUAUCUUGUCAAGGUAUGUACUUUGCGAAAGACCUAUGAGGCAUCUCGAUCUAUCUCUAUAGAUCUUGAUGCCUAAUAUGUAUGCAGCUUCUCCAAGGUCCUUCAUUGAAAAACUCUUGUUCAAAUAGGCCUUUAUGCUCUCCAACAUCUCUAUAUUAUUCCCCAUCAAUAAUAUGUCAUCCACAUACAGUAUGAGGAAAGCUACAGAGUUCCCACUCACUUUCUUGUACAGUCAGGCUUCUCCGUAAACCUGUAUGAACCCAAACGCUUUAAUCACCUCAUUAAAGCGAAUGUUCCAACUCCGAGAUGCUUGCACCAGCCCAUAGAUGGAGCGCUGGAGCUUGCACACUUUGCUAGCACCCUUAGGGUNNNNNNNNNNNNNNNNNNNNNNNNNNNUUGCUAGCACCCUUAGGGUCGACAAAACCUUCUGGUUGCGUCAUAUACAACUCUUCCUUAAGGUUCCCGUUAAGGAACACUGUUUUGACGUCCAUUUGCCAAAUUUCAUAAUCAUAAAAGGUGACAAUUGCUAACAUGAUUCGGACUGAUUUCAGCUUCGCUACGGGAGAGAAAGUCUCUUCGUAGUCAACUCCUUGAAUUUGUCGAAAACCCUUUGCGACAAGUUGAGCUUUGUAAAUGGUUACAUUACCGUUUGCAUCAGUCUUCUUCUUGAAGAUCCAUUUACUUUCUAUGGCUCGCCGCUCAUUGGGCAAUUCCACCAAAGUCCAUACUUUGUUCUCACACAUGGAUCCUAUCUCGGAUUUCAUAGCCUCAAGCCAUUUGUUGGAAUCCGGGCCCGCCAUCGCUUCUUCAUAGUUCGAAGGUUCACCGUUGUCUAACAACAUGAUUUCCAUCACAGGGCUGCCGUACCACUCUGGUGCGGAGCGUGCCCUUGUGGACCUUCGCGGUUCAGUAGUAACUUGAUCCGAAGCUUCAUGAUCAUCAUCAUUAACUUCCUCUUCAGUUGGUGUAGGCGCCACAGGAACAACUUCCCGCGUUGAGCUACUAUCCUGUUCGAGAGGGGGUGUAAUUACCUCAUCAAGUUCUACCUUCCUCCCACUUACUUCUUUCGAGAGAAACUCUUUCUCUAGAAAGGAUCCGUUCUUGGCAACAAAGGUUUUACCUUCGGAUCUAAGNNNNNNNNNNNNNNNNNNNNNNNNNNNNNNNNNNNNNNNNNNNNNNNNNNNNNNNNNNNNNNNNNNNNNNNNNNNNNNNNNNNNNNNNNNNNNNNNNNNNGUGAUAGUGAUGAUGAUGAUGCAUUUAUUGAUGAUGAUUAUUAGUUUGUAAGAUUCACAACUUAAAUUAUAUAUAUUUUAAUCUUUAUUAUUCAUGUACAUAUUAUUAUUCAUGUCAGUUAUUCAAUUUUUUUAUGUUGUACUAAUUUCUUUUAAUCUUUAUCAUGGCAGGUCACCUGGUGUUGAAAGAUGGUGGGCGCUGGUCCAGAGCGCUCGACGGGUUCUUCCCAGCCGCCCCGCACGAGGGGUGGUACUUCCCUUCCACCCCUAUGUCUCCGUAGAGCCUUGGCAGACAGUCUGUCGACACCACCCGUGGGUUCUUCUUCGUCGGCGGCAUUGCCCACUGGGAGAGGUGCUCUUCGGGUAGGGAAGAAGGGGAAGGGUACAUGGAGAGGUGGUGGCCACGGAAGAUCCAGGAGGACUGUUGAGCCGUCCUCGCCACCACCACCAGCUCAUUCACCCGAGCAUACGACUACUAUGGUCGACCCGUUUGCGGAAGAGGCUACGGGGACUCCGGUCUAGGAGCGUGGUGUUGACGGGCAUUCGUCCCAUGAGACUCCGGUCCAGGAUCAGCCUCGGGUCGAGGUGCAUUCGUCCCACGAGACUACGUUUCCGGAGGCUUCACCCGACGUGGAGAGGCCCGGAUGGGAUACCUGGCCGGAUCGGACCGAGUUGCCGGAUUGGACCGAGGGUCCGAGUGGCUCAGGGGGCUGGGAUGGCGGGGAUGAGUUUACGGAUAGUGAGGGCGAUGUGCAGGUGGACGGGGCCACCGUGUACAAGAGUGGUAGUACACGUCUCCCGGUCGUGCCGGCUACCCGCGAGCAGAGGCCGGUGAUUAAACCUGAAGGAGAUAGGUAAGUACAUUUACUCUUUUUUAGCUUUUGCCUUCAAGUUUGUUCAAAUAUCUAAUGUGUUGACCUUAUCAUACUGCAGGGGAUGGGUACACCCUAUUGGAGUCCGCAGGCCGAACUCCGUCCUUGGUGUGCUUUGCCGGACAAAUUUCCCGGGGUUUGUCACGUUGCUUGGUGAGGGUCAGGUUCCUACACUAGGAUUUUCCUGGGAGCACUACCAGGCUGCGCAAGCCCCGCCGGAAGAGAUUAUAGAUGGUGUCUUGUGACACACGAGGGUCGAGAUGGUGAUCAAGAGCUUUUGGGUAAAUUAUCCUUUUACACAAUCUAAAAUUAACAAGAUAAGUAAUUAUUGUACUAAUCGGUGUUUUCACGUUUGAUUGCAGACCUUCUAUAGGUGUGAGGAUGGAUAUGAGGAGGAGGCGGCCAAGGUUCUCGAGGCCGAGUGUAGGCGGUUACUACAGAACUUAUGCCACGAGGCUCGGCCGCAGGCUAUUCGAGACUACUAUGCCACGCGUGGUAUUAAGAAGCAGAAGAAGGAUUGCCGCGGAAAGUUUCUGAAGAAGGAGCAAUACAUGAAGGUAAUUACCUAUUCUUAAGUCCUUAUACGUAGUUUUCUUGAUUUCAUUCAUAGGCGUAGCGCUCAAAAUUCUUUCUAAUAACUUACAGGUGCCCCCGAGAUGGUGUGCGGAUAAGAUGGAUUGUUGGGAGGCGUUGGUUGAUGAGUGGUGCACAGGCAGCUGGCGAGCCGUCCACGAGAAUGCGAAGGAUCGGCAUAGCCAAAUGGUUGGUGUGCCACACCAUCAAGGCAACGCCAACUUACUUCAGUUUGGACGAAACUGGGUAUGUGAUUUGCUUCAUGAUUCAUGCAAUUCGUUCUUCAUGCUAGUGUUUUGAUCCUCUCUUUUAGGCGCAUCACAAUAAUACGGAGAUGCCACACUUGUACGACCUUUAUGGCAUGGCCCAUACUGCCUCGUACAAGAAGGCGAAGGCAUUCUCUGAGUCUGACCUGGAUGAUCCCAAUAACUUCACCAACAUAUCAUCCCACCACAAGCUCGUGGCAUACAGGGACGCGGGGAAGGCUAUGAAAGGGGAUGACUUUAACCCUAGCCAGGAACCUUUGGAUCCAAAGCUGGUGAUGAUAUCUGGUGGCAGGAGGCCCCAUGGCUCGAUAGCCAUUGGAGCUGGGAUAAUACGUUGUCCACUCACUCUCCCGGAGAUCAAGGCGCGCCAGUCGAGCAGUUGUCCUGAGAUAACGCGUCGUCCACGGCCAGUCGAUCUUGCCAUCGAGGUUAGUUGUACGGACUAAGAACACUUUCAUCCAUUUCAUUAUGUGUGUCACCAUAGAUCAUUACUGUGGUAACUAGGAGUGGUGUUUCAGGCUGCUCUUCGGAAAGAGAGGUUGGCAAACUAGGCUGCUCUUGAGAAAGAGAGAUUGGCAAACCAGGCUGCUCUUGAGAAAGAGAGAUUGGCAAGCCAGGCUGCUCUUGAUGAGAGGGACCAGACCACGACACGAUUGAUUGAGGAGGAGAGGUCCCGAAAUGAGGCGGGUCAACGGGCCGUGUAUGAGCUUUUUGUGGUAAGUUUUUUUUCACAUUAGCCAAAUCAUGUGUGUAAUGUCUGUUUCAUUACUAACUAAUACGACCCACUCUUCACGGUCAGUGCGAGAUGAGCGGUCAAGUCCCUCCGUCGAUGCCCGUCUUCUCUUCGAUUAGCAUGGUGAGUUUUAUUAUAAACUAGUAUUAAUAAUUUAGUGUCAUCAUGCUAACUCAGACAUUGCAAAAUAUCUAUUCUGCAGAAUAACUCCCGAGCGGCAUCGCCCGACCCUUCUCCACGUAUUUCUCCUCCUUGAUGACCACUACGGUAAGUUUAUAUUCUCCUCUUUCAUAUAAUGACAUAGUUAGCUAAUUUAGCUCCAAGAAGAGGAGAAGAGGAGGAGGAGGAGAAGGAGGAGAAGGCCAAGGACCUUCUAGUCCUUCUCCUCGUCCUCCUCCUUCUCCUCCUUCUUCUUUAUUUCUUCUUCUCCUCCUCCUCCUCCUCUUUCUUCUCCUCUUUCAUAUUCUCCUUGCCUUAAUUUCCCCAACAAUGACAUAAUUAGCCCAUUUAGCUCCAAAAUGCCAUAAUAACCUCAAAAUGGCAUAAGAACCUUGGUUAGCUCAUUAAUAUUAUAUACUUAGCUUGUUUUCCUCUAAAAUGGGACAAUUAGCCCAUUUAGCUCCAAAAAUACAUAGUUAGCUAAUUUAGCUCCAAGAAGAGGAGAAGAGGAGAAGAAAUAGGAAAAAUGAAAAGAAAGAAGAAGAAGAAGAAGAGAAGAAGGAGAAGGAGGAGGAGGAGGAGGAGAAGAAGAAUAAAUAAAGAAGAAGGAGGAGAAGGCCAAGGACCUUCUAGUCCUUCUCCUCCUCCUCCUCCUUCUCCUCCUUCUUCUUUAUUUCUUAUUCUUCUUCUCCUCCUCCUCUUUAUUCUCGUCUUUCAUAUUAUCCUUGCCUUAAUUUCCCUAACAAUGACAUAAUUAGCCAAUUUAGCUCCAAAAAGACAUUAUAAGCUCAAAAUGGCAUAAGAACAUUGGUUAGCACAUUAAUAUUAUAUACUUAGCUUGUUUUCCUCUAUAAUGACAUAGUUAGCUAAUUUAGCUCCAAGAAGAGGAGAAGAGGAGAAAUGAAAAGGAAGAACAAAAAGAAGAAGAGAAAGAGAAGAGAAGGAGAAGGAGAAGAAGGAGGAGGAGAAGAAGGAGAAGGAGGAGGAGGAGGAGGAGGAGGNNNNNNNNNNNNNNNNNNNNNNNNNNNNNNNNNNNNNNNNNNNNNNNNNNNNNNNNNNNNNNNNNNNNNNNNNNNNNNNNNNNNNNNNNNNNNNNNNNNNGAGAAGGCCAAUGUGGCCGUCGAACGCUGCAAAGAGGUGGAAUCCCGCCUGAGCGCCCUCCAAGGGGAACAUGCCAAGCUAGUCGAGCAACGCCGCUCGAAGGAGGAGGAACUCAAGGCCUGUGAGGCCAAGCUUGCCGCCCGGGAGAGGGAGCUGUCCCGGGAGACGAACCGCCUGGGAGCAGAACAGGAGCUCUUGGUUGAGCGGGAGAAGGAUGCCACNNNNNNNNNNNNNNNNNNNNNNNNNNNNNGCGGGAGAAGGAUGCCACCACGAAGGAGGCUCUCCUUGAGGCCUGGGAGAAGGCCCUCGCCGCAGCCAAGGAAAAGAAGGCCUCCGAGCUGGCAUGCUUCCCCGACGUCGAGCUUGUGCUUCGCAAGGCGAUCCACUACCUCUGUCGGGGUGGGUUUGACGAGCCUCUGGCUACCCCGGAGGAAAGCAUUUCCAUGCUCGCGAAUGGGCUCGUCACAGCGCUGCGGGAUGCCGUCAUGCAGAUCGACAAGUCCUUGGCGAGUGAAUGCCACGACCUCUUCUUCGCGGUCGUGACUCGUGUCUUCAGCCACGUUCAUCUUCGCGACCCCGAAUUUGAUCUAAGCUUCGUGAUCAUGUGGUUCCUCCCAGGGCCCGCGACCGCGUCGUGGAGUCGGUGAAGGGUCUUGUGGAGGCGUUGGUGAGGAAGUUCGCCCGCGUCGUGCCCCCCUCGUCACCAGGUACCGCUAGAGGCGACGAUAGGGAAGACAAUGCCUCCGAUGUCGACGACCAGCCCCCUGUGGAGGGGGUGACCGACGGCGGCUCCUCUUGAUCUACUGCACUUGUUAUUUCUCUGCAAUGCACAUCGUGCCUCGUGGAGGCGUCAAACUUAUUUGUGUUUUUUAUGAACUGGGUCAUGGUCUGUAAUAAUUGAAUGCUCGAUUGUUUUCCUCGGCUUGUUCCUAUCAUUUUUUCCGUGUUUCUCUAUGUCGGCAAGGCCGGCCCUGCUCGUACCUUCCCGUGAUUGGACUGACCGGAAACCAAGGACAACCCAAAGGGGGAAGGGGCUAUGAGCGCAGUUAGGCUCCUGAGUCGCGAUGCUCAGGAAUCCCCCUUGACGCGCAAGCUCCUCUCAUGAGGAGGACGUGGUGAAGAUUCCGAAACUUAGAACAUUUUCAGCACUCUGUGUCGGGAGAGCCUGCCCCGCGCAUACCUCGCCGCGAUUGAACCAACCAGAAACCAAGGACGGCCCAAAGGGGGAGUGGCUAUGAGCGUAGUUAGGCCCGUGAGUCGUGAUGCUCAUGGGUGCCCCUUGACGUGCGAGCGACUCCGAUCCUCUUCGUAAGAAACCGAUGGUGUGAGACUCUCGAACUCCUUCAACACUCUGCAUCUGCAGGGCCCGCCCCACGCGUACCUCCCCGCAGUUGAGCCGACCUGAAAGGGGUGGCUAAAAAGGGAAAGGGGCUACGGGCACAGUUCAGGCUCCUGAGUCGCGAUGCUCAGGAGUCACACUUGACAUGCGAGUGACUCCAGCAUUCUUCCUAAGGGAUUUAAAGCGACUUGUUGAGCGCAUUGGGCUAUGUGUCCGCAGGGCCCGCCCCCUGCGUACCUUCCUGCGAUUGAACCGUCCAAGGACGGCCCAAAGAGCGAAGGGGCUACGAGCAUAGUUAGGCCGCUGAGUCGCGAUGCUCAGGGGUCCCCCUUGAUGUGCGAGCGGCUCCGUACCUUCAGUUGUUUGCCCACACGCUGGGUGUGGGCGGAGCUGUGGAUGUAUUGCGCUGAUCCCCUCGAUGGCCUUGGGUGUAGCCAUUGGCGGGCUGUGUUAAUGCCGGUUGAGGGCGUAGUCAUCGGCGGACUAUAUUGGUUGCCCAUGUAUGUACCCAGCGCGGAGCAUAGGUCUUCUACUAGGCAUAGGGUGGACCCCUCCGUGUCCUCGGGGGGCCCUGGGCGUAUAUAGCCUCGGCUCGUUAUUACGUUAGAGUGUCACGGUGGGGGUGUAUAUGGGAGGUCGCGAGAAAGAUAGGGCCUUGCAAGUGUCCCUACCCCGAGGCAUCGGGGCCUGAUCUUCUCCCCAGCGUGGAGCGUAGGUCUGCCACUCGGUAUAGGAUGGACCCCAACNNNNNNNNNNNNNNNNNNNNNNNNNNNNNNNNGACCCCAACGUGUCCUCGGGAGGCCUUGGGCGUAUACAGCCUCGGCUCGUUAUUACGUGAGAGAGUCACAGUGGGGUGUAUAUGGGAGGUCGUGAGGAUGCUAUGGCCUCGCGAGUGUCCCUACCCCCGAGUCAUUGGUGGACUGAAUUGACUUGGUUUGGGUCAUUGGCAAACCCUGCUCACUUCUUCUUUAGGAGAGGGGCUCCGCACCUGCACGAACAAACUUUGACCGGAGCCCCCAAGCGGGGGCCGAUCGCCCGACAAUAUAACCAAGGCGGAACGUUAGGAUGCCAAGCAGGUGCAAUUGAACAACCAAAUGAUGCAUAAACGAAAGUAGUAGCUGGGGAAAGUACAGAGCUCGGGGAGGCCGCAUGGCCCUGGGGUUACCUAUGGACUGGGCGAACCGAAAGGUUACCUGGCAGCGGCCAGCAAAAAGUUACCUAGCGGCCGAGCUGCUGAAGUGCCGGAGGCUCUGUUGUCGCUUGAUUUCCUGGAUCCGCAGUCGCGACCCUCACGGGUCCAUCGCCCCCCGAUCUAGGGGCCUUCGCUUGGCCCGAGCAUCUUCUCCUCCUCCUCGUGGCGCCCAAGCACGCAAGGGAGGAGAAUGGCCUGCUGGAGCCUCUGGUACGUGGCAGCCGCGUUCCUCAGCCCGGAGAGCAUGAAGGCUUCAGUGCUCGGGUACUCCCACCAGUAGCCAGUCUGCGUAGGACAGAAGGGGUCGUGCGCCAUGGCUGCGUUGGUUGCAGACGCGUUAAUGCAGAUGCGGGGCCGGUCAACUGUGCAGACAGCGGCGACUGCGAUGGGUGGUGCGGGGCAGUUACCGUGUCGCAUGGUCUGGGCCUCGAGAAGUUCUCGGAUUUCUUUGAUGACGGACUCGCGAGAUCUGGUCGAACGUGCUCCGGAGUGCGCCCUCGGGAUGUGCUCAGACACCGCCUCUGUCUCACUGAUCAGGCUAGGGGCCUCCCCGGUGGGAGCCCCCUAGCCCUGAUCUAAGAGGGACGCCGAGCGCACAUCCCUAUGCGAUGGGGGGCAGGGAUCCGUCCCCGAGCAUCGAACACAAAGCCCCGAGGCACUCCGCAGGGAGGAACUCCUUCUUGAGCGGGGCUUCGUGAGGCAGCUCGUCAUCUUCAUCAUUUGAGCGUUCUGACGUUGCCGCACGGUACGCUCUCUCCAGUGCGUAGACAUCAUCCUUCUCAUGACAGGGUAUGGUGAUGUCACCACCGCUUCCCGGCAUCUUGAGGACAUUCUAUCCAUGGUGGACCACGACCAUGAACUUGGCAAGCACUGGUUACCCGAGGAUGGCAUUGUAUGGCAGAUGGAUGUGCGCGACGUCGAAGAGGAUGACCUUGGUGUGAUAGUUGUGGCGCUCGCCAAAGGUGACGGGCAGGUGCACUUGCCCAAUGGGUACGGUGGAUCCCUUUGUUACCCCUGAGAAGGGCUUGGUCGGCAUGAGUUGCUCAUACGGCAGCUGGAGCUUCUCGAAGGUCUCGACUGAGAGGAUGUUGAGCCCAGCUCCACUCUCAAUGAGAGUCUUGGUGACGAGGACGUUGCUGAUAGUUGGGGUGCACAUCAUUGGGAGCUUGCCAGCCAGGAACGAGCACCUGAGCUGGUCGCUUGGGUCGAAAGCAAUGGUGGUCUGGGACUAGUUGAGGGGACGUAUCGCUUCAGGCCUCGGGAGGGCGACAUUCACCUCCUGGGACAACUGCAUGAAGGCGUGGUUGGAUGCUGGGGUCUGGGCACCACCCAGGAUGGAAGCUAGUGCCCUGGCAUUCUGGAAGCCCCCAGCCCUGUCGUCUUGCUUGUCUUCGUUCCUCCUCCUGGGCUGCAGGGGCAGCGAGGGCAGCCUGGUCUCUCGAGGGCGAGCCUCACGAGGUUGGCCGCUUCGCUGGCCCUCCUGAGGAUUAUCACGCCAGCGGUCCUCCUGAGGUUGGCCAUGCCAGGGGUCCUCCUGAGGCUUCUCAUGCCACCCCUGACGUGGCUCACGAUCAUCCCAGCGGACCCCAUUGCGGCCUCCUCCAUGCAGGGUUUCUGUAGAACUGUCCGGGAUCCUGUUGAAGUGUUUGGCAUGAACCAAACGUAGUUCUUGACAUUCAGAGGUGUCAUGGCCGAUGGUGCAAUGGAAGAUGCACGUCGGCCCUCCUCCAGAGGGGCGCUCUCCCCCCUCGAGUAUGCUUCGUUUCAGGCUCGGCGGCUAGUACCGCUGGGGCCUUGCGCUUCAGCUCCUUGGCUUUGGCCUUCUUCUCUUCUGGGUCCGCCGCCUGGGGCCCAAGGAGCGAUAGGCGUCCUUCUUCCGCCUUGGCGCACUUGCUUGCCAAGUUGAACAUCUCCAAUGCGGUGCUCAUUUCAUCGUUCAUGGCAAGCUCUUCCUUCAUCUUGAGGUCGGUGACUCCGUUGGAUAAAGACGAUACGACAGCCUCAUCCGACGCCUUAGGGAUCAUGAGGCGCAUGACAGUCAAACAUUGUAUGAACUUGUGCAGGUUAUCCACCUCUUGCUGCUUGACGCGCCGCAGGUCGAUCACGGUGGGAGCGCGGUCGCGGGUGCCCUGGAAGUUGGCGAUGAAGCGCUCACGCAAGCCGUCCCAGGAGGUAAUGGACGCCUUUGGGAGGUUGAGGAGCCAUGAAAGCGCGCCACCCUUGAGCGCCAUCGGGAACCAACAUGCCAUGAUCUUGUCGCCACCUCCUGCCGCCUUGAUGCUCAGUGUGUAGAGUUGCAGGAACUCUGUCGGGUCUUGGUUUCCGUCGUAACAUGGGGGCAGGUCGGGCUUGAACUUGCAGGGCCAUGUGCCGGGGUAGAUAUCGGGGGCGAUGGUGAAGCACCCCACCGGUCCAACAAGCACAGUACGCGCGGGGGCUGCCUGGUCUUGUUGUUCCUCAGGGUCUGCCUCGAGCAGAGCACGCUCCGGGCGCGAGAUCUACAACGCCAGGGGAGCGCACGCGUUGGCGCGGGGCCUGGGGAUCAUCUGGCAGCUUGCUUCAUCCCCGGGCCUCGCCCUGGGUUCACGCGGCCGAGCACGGAGUCGUGCUUCCUGCCCGGGCUCGGGGUCCGCGACAUGCCGCGGAGGCGAGUAUGGCGCGUCUUGCUCCUCGUUGUUCGUCAGGGACGGCUAGGGCCGGAGCAAGCAGGAGAGUGCCGCUGAGUCACCAGCGGCGGCGAUGAGUUCCUCGAUGCGAUGGAUCGAGUUGUCAUGGCGGUCUAGAGCUGGUCGGUAAGGGAGAAGCUCGGUGGUCAUGGCAAGCGGGCGGCGGCCAUGGGGCCUCCCUAGCCGAGCGCGGGAUGCCGACGCCGAAGGCCUGACGAGCGACGGCGUGGCGGUGCAGCUGUCGACAUGCUCAGUCGGAGGUUGGGAGCAGCCCUGUUGCUCUAGAGCUUCGGGGCUGGUAGCAGCAUUCACCACGGGUGACGGUGACCGACACGCACCGGCAGCACCGACGGGUGCGGUCCGGGCGAUGCGGGUGGCGCGAUGUUCCGCACGUACCCGGUGUGUAUCAGCCAUCAGAGCCAUGGAGUUUGGUGAGGACGGAGCUUGGAGUAAACCUCGACACGCCCCUACCUGGCACGCCAAAUGUUGGAUUUCGGGCUCUGCAAAACCCUAAGGACUCAAACACUGGCGCGUGUACAAAGAUCUCCCCUUCUUCGCCUCGCCUGUCUCACUACUCGAUGGAAACAAUGAAGGACUCACUAGAAGGUGAGGAGAACACAGAACCCAGCAACUUACCCAGGUUCGAGCCGCUAUGAAGCGUAAAACCCUAAUACUGCUUUGGAGGAUUGCCUCUCUUCAAGGUUGAGGAACGAGAUGGUACAUGGCUUUUGCGCCUCCGGAGGCCAAGUGGCUAAGCGUGCUGCACUAGGGUUUCGAUCCCCUCUCUCAAGUAUCUGUUGGGCAAGGUUGCAUGGGAAACAAAAAAAUUCCUACGCACACGAAGACCUAUCAUGGUGAUGUUCAUCUACGAGAGGGAGGUCAUAUCCACAUACCCUUGUAGAUCGCUAAGCACGAAGUGUUAAGAAAUGUAGUUGAUGUAGUGGAACAGCUUUGUGAUUCAAAUCACCAUUGUCCCACGAUCCGUCCCGAUCUAGUACCGAACGGACCACACCUCUGCGUUCAGCGCACGUACAGCUCGAUGACGAUCUCUGCCUUCUUGAUCCAGCAAGAGAGACGGGGAUGUAGAUGAGUUCUCCGGCAGCGUGAUGGCGUGCUGGUGAUGGUGAUGAUCUAUUCCUACAGGGCUCCGCCCGACCUCCGCAAAAAACCGAUCUAGAGGAAGAACUACGAAGUAGAGGUUUAGGGUUUCAUGUGGCAAAGUUUUUUCUCAAGAACACUAAAAUCUCUAGUAUAUAUAGUAGGAGGGGAGGGGCUAGCCUUGGGGAUCAAGAGAGCCCCUAGGGCGUCGGCCGAGUGGAGGAGGAGGGACUCCCACUCCAAUUCGGUUUGGGAAGGAGGAGUCCCUUCCUUCCUUCCCACCUCCCUCUUUUUUUUCUCCUUUGAUUUUUCCUCUUGGACGAAAUAGCCCUAUUAGGCUGGCCUCACCAGCCCACCAAGGGCUGGUGCGCCACCCAUGGCCUAUUAGGUUCUCUCCCGGGUGGGUGGCCCCCUCCCGGUAAAAACCCGGAACCCAUUCAUCACUCCCGGUACACUGCCGGUAAUGCCCGAAAUCUUUCCGGAAGCCAAAUGAAACAAUCCUAUAUAUCAAUCUUCGUUUCCGGACCAUUUCGGAAACUCACUUGAUGUCUGUCAUCUCAUCCGGGAGUCCCAACAAACCUUCGGUCGCCAACACCUAUAACUCAACUAUACUGAAACGUCACCGAACCUUAAGUAUGCAGACCCUGCGGGUUCGAGAACAAUGCAGACAUGACCUGAGACACUCCCUGAUCAAUAUCCAAUGGAGGGACCUGGAUGUCCAUAUUGGAUCCUACAUAUUCUACAAAGAUCUUAUCAGUUGAACCUCUGUGCCAAGGAUUCAUAUAAUCCCGUAUACCAUUCCCUUUGUCCUUCGGUAUGUUACUUUCCCGAGAUUCGAUCGUCGGUAUCCCUAUACCUAUUUAAAUCUCGUUACCGGCAAGUCUCUUUACUCGUUCUGUAAUACAAGAUCCUGUGACAAACACUUUAGUCACAUUUCUUGCAAGGCUUAUAUGUGAUGUUGUAUUACCGAGUGGGCCCCGAGAUACCUCUCCGUCACANNNNNNNNNNNNNNNNNNNNNNNNNNNNNNNNNNNNNNNNNNNNNNNNNNNNNNNNNNNNNNNNNNNNNNNNNNNNNNNNNNNNNNNNNNNNNNNNNNNNAGCAUGUUUUCUCGAGCCAUGUUGGUACAUGAACAUGGACAUACACAUAUUCUUAGGAACAAAUAAGAAAGAUAAAUGGAGAAGGAAAACCCAAAGCAAUGUCAGAGUUGACAAAACUGCAAUGGCACUUUAUAUGUGGCCCAUCGUCAGUGAGCUGUUUAUGCCUUGCCGGACUCCUCGCAGCCUGGUGGCUUGAAGGCGAUGAAGCUGACGCACUGCACCUGACGCAUGUUGUCGAAUCCGAUGAUGCGGACAUACGCGUCAGGGUACUCCUUCUUGACCUCCUCCACCUCGUUGAGCACCUGUGUGGCGUCGGUGCAUCCGAACAUAGGCAGCUUCCACAUUGUCCAGUACCGGCCAUCGUAGUACCCAGGAGAUGCGUUGUGCUCACGGAAGAUGAACCCAACCUUGCUGAACUCGAGGCAAGGCACCCACUUGGAGCGGAUCAGGUAGUCGACCUGCUUAAGGAGGGCCUCCGUGCUGAGUGGUGGCAAGUAAGACAGGGUCUCGAACUUCUUGAUGCCCUCGAUGGGCCACACCUGCAAAUCAGAUUCACGUCUAUACAUUAAGAGACUAUAACUCUAGUUCUACACGUUUGAUUGUUCUUCUUGACAUCCGUCGGCUUAAAAAUGACUAGAAAGACAGAGACGAUGUUGUUUACCUGCAUGCACCUGAUCCUUCCACCGUUGCUGACGCUGCCGAGGCUAGCACCGUUCGAGCGGCGGCUGACGGGGAGGCCGGCGGUGGACUUGAGCCCCUGGAAAGGAGCGACGGAGGUGGCCGACGAGGCCAUCACGGUGGGGGCCAUAGCUGUACUAUGUAGGUAUAUAGCUUGCUAGAGGGAGGCACACUGGCUUGAGGACUG